RNAcentral lists this long non-coding RNA (64463 nucleotides) under Coffea arabica (coffee). RNAcentral's name for it is "long non-coding RNA (CARA_LNC004185)". The record is from RNAcentral. Lineage: Eukaryota; Viridiplantae; Streptophyta; Magnoliopsida; Gentianales; Rubiaceae.
ACCAAAGCCAUCUCUUUGAUUCACCCUCUAUAAUUGCAUGCUCUCCAUCAGCUAACAAAUUCAUCAUUCAAUCGGAUGCAAACUUUGGCAUGGGAUGGCCUGCCACUCAAAUUAUAGGCAACAAUUCCCUCCUUUUCCUUCGAGGAUCAUCACAUGCAAGGAUUAGAGGCUUAGUUGGGAAGGCUAUUAAUCAACCUGAUGCUCUCCGUAAGAUAGCCAUUAUGGUCGAGCCAAGAAUAGUUGCAGCCCUUCAGCAGUGGUCAAAAAAGGGGAGAAUUGUAGCAUUGCAAGAUGCAAAGAAGGUAGACUAAUAUGCGUAUAAAAAAUAUAGAUCUAAAUAAUAUUUUCUUGAUGUAAGUUGUCAUACUAAUUUCAACUUUCCUGAAAUCUCUCCCGGCCAUCAUUUUCCUUAUUUUUCAUUAUUUUUUCAUUGUCCUUGACAGUUACUUAUGAAAAUAUUGGGAAGUAGAUUUUCAUUAUUUUUUUUUUGGCAGAAAGAGAUUUAUCAAAAAGUAACUAAAGUUUGACAAAUAAGACACAGUUAACACAUGAGAAAUAAAGGAAAAUGUAAAAGCAAAGCUUAGAAAAUGUCUCAUUGAUAAGGAUCAUAAUUUUCCCUUUCCCCUUCUAUCCUUAGUCUUUAUGUCACUUAGGCUUCAAAGAAUAGUUGGACCUCCUUAGCCUUGCCAUCUUCAUCCCGAUCUUCAUCUCAGUUUGUUGAGCCGUAAUACAUAAUAUAUUGUAUGAGUUGAAUUAGUCCACCAAGGGUCCCAAGGCCAUUGGGAAUCACGAGCCAGGGAUCGAAUCUAAGGAAAGCAUAUGAAAACCAAACAGCACCAUUCACAAAAUUAGCAAGCGACGAUGAGAAUGGCAUGUAUCUCACAUUCUAUCUUAAUUACGCUGCACAUAACAGUCAAUGGUGAAAAGUACAUCCCAACAUUGAGGAUUGUGUGCAAGACGCUGACAAAUAAUGACCUAUUGCUACCAUCCGGAGCCCUUAAGGCGAUGAUGAUGACUAUGGCCAAAAUCACUUCUUCACCUGCAAGAAAAUGGAAGAUUUUUUUGUGUUUUUGCCAAUUGGAAUAGAUGAUGAACAAGGUGACAAAGAUGGCCUCAAUUAUAAGUCCAGCACCGUUGAUCGUUGAAACCAAAAUGCUAUCCUUCUUGACGAUUGGAAGGCCAUAGAACACCCACAUUGCACAAUUCAAUGUUGUGGCAAGGUAGGGGUCUGGCUUGAAAUGUUGAACAGACAUGGCUUUCCCUAUGUUUACGAAUGUGGGCGUCGGGGAGACAAACAUGCCAAAGGAUAUGACGUUUCCAAUUACUCCUAUGAUGGUCCUUGCAAGUUCCUUGUGAGCCAUCCCUGAAUUUGUUAAGAUGUUGUGAGUGGAAACUAAAAGAGUUAGAAGUCAACCAAUUAAAAUACCCAGAACUGCUUAUCAUGACGCCCUCCAGGUUAGCAAGCAUGAUGCAUUAAACCAAAAAAUAAUAAUAAUGAUGUAUGUAUUGCUAGUAUGGACCAAUUUUAAUUUGCUUCAUUCUUCUUGUGCUACUUAAAUAAAAAAAAUUAUUUAAGAUGACAUUUUACUUUAUACAAAAUUACAUAUAGUAUCAAAGUCUCUACUUUUUUGUAUAUAACAUUGUCAAAAUUUAAAUUUGCCCAAAAUGUUAGGUGUUCGAACUUAAAGAUCAUUGAUUGACAAAGGUAUAUGACUUUAGUGAAAACGGAGUAUAAAAAGAUUUUUUUGGGGGGAAACUAAGAAGGUUUUUGAUUAUGGAUGUUGAAAUCAUUAGAAGUGAACCUUGGUAAUAAAAACCUCACAAGGUUAAGUACGAUGAAUGAAAUAUUUUUUUAGGGACUAAUAUUAUUUUGCAUGCACAGACUUUAUACCAUUUCCCACUUUGUACCCCCAAAUAUAAUAUGCUACACAUUGCAUCCUUUAACCUUUUCUGAUGAGGCAACCUUAACUUUAACAUAUAUAUGUCCCAUUACGGACUUUAGUCCAAUGGCACUAACACUAUUGAAAGAUAAGGGAGAUGAAGCCUGUCAGCAGCAUAGUUCUUAAUCCUGUGAUGAUUCCUCCAUAUACUGAAAAUUCUUUAUCAGUUGAAAAUGUUAGUUUUUUUUCCUCAAGUAUAAAGUGCAAAAUAAGAUUUCAUGCAAAGUUUGAGGCAUAAAGUGGAACGAUGCUCUCUCUUAAACUAAAAUGGUAGCAUGGACCAGAUUCGACACCUGUUAGGAUUCACACUUCGUCGAUAUCAUUAGUAGUAGAUUUUAAAUUUUCUUUUCCCUUUCUUACUUUGAACAUGAACCCUAAGAGAAACAUAUCACCAGAGCCAUUUUAGUCAAAAAAAAAAAAAAGAAUAUCAACUGAGCCUCAAUGAAUUUGAAUUUAAUAAUAGCUCCAUUUAUGGAGAAUGCACAAAAAUAUAUCACAAUUUGGAAAACUAGUAUCUAAAAAAAGAGGAAGAAACAUGAAAAACAUGAAAUUAGAAGGCAGACAACCAAAAGCCUAGAGAACUACAUGGUAUUGUUGUAGAGGAAGAAUAAUAUUUCCAUAAACAUGUCAUUUUUUUAUAUAAAUUUCUAUUAUAGAUGUCACAUAGCAAAAUCUAAAGAACUAGAAUAAAUUCAGAGAACACAUCCAUAUCCUAGAAUGUUUCAUAGCUAUCAAAACUGAAUUAUCCAAGCACAAAGUGUAAAACCCAAAAAAUUUGAUAAAACAACUAUAGUAAAAAUAUAUUUCAUAAAAUCAAUGUAUAUCAGGUGGCAAAAUAUGUGUGCAAGAAGAGGAAUAAAUCAACAGUAUAAUAUUAAUUAUACGAUAAGCACGAGCUACACAUCCACAUUCUAGAAAGUUUCAUAUCUUUCAAAACUAAAUGAUCCAAGCACCAAGUGUAGAACCCAAAAUAUUUUAUCCAAAAACUAUAGAAGAUAAAUUUCAUAAAAUCAAUGUAUAUAAGGAGGCAAAAUAUGUGUGAGAAAAGAGGAAUAAGUCAACAAUAUACAAUCAAGGUAUAGUAAAACAAUUUGAUAAAAAUAUAUUUCAUAAAACAACUAUAGUAAAAAUAUUUCAUAGUAAAACAACUAUAGUAAAUUUGAUAAAACAACUACAGCAAAAAUAUAUGUCAUAAAAUCAAUGUAUAUCAAGUGGCAAAAUAUGUGUGCAAGAAGAGGAAUAAAUCAACAACAUAAUAUUAAUUAUACGAUAGGAACAAGCUACACAUCCACAUUCUAGAAAGUUUCAUAUCUUUCAAAACUAAAUGAUCCAAGCACCAAGUGUAGAACCCAAAAUAUUUUAUCCAAAAACUAUAGAAGAUAAAUUUCAUAAAAUCAAUGUAUAUAGGGAGGCAAAAUAUGUGUGAGAAAAGAGGAAUAAGUCAACAAUAUACCAUAGGUGUCGCGCCCUACUUUUUGAUAAUGGUGUGGAAGUAGUGUGUGAAAUAUGUAUGUGAACGUGUGCGAAAGUGAAAAUAAAGGCCGUGGGAUUGUGAAAUGCGACGGUUUGGCCAAAUAAAGUUCAAAAAGGGUUUUUGGAUGAAAAAUGGAGUCGCCACUUGGUAUGGAGUUAGGGUGUACCAAGUCACCCAAAAAUGAUUUUUUUUGUUUUGUUUUUGAAAGAAAAAGUAAGCAAACCCUUUUAAAGAACUUUUAGGUCUACGCAACCAAAGAGAGGGAUCGGGGGUCACAUUUGAUAAGGGAGAAGGCAAAGGCAACGCCUAAGGUACUCCCUUACCCUAGCCAAAGCUAGUUGCGUGACUUAGCCUCUACUUUUCCUAAUUUUUCUAUCCAAGGUACGUAUCGCAUGUUGGAUAUGACUAAUGGAUGCGAAAAGGAAAGAAAAAUGCAAUCCUAAACCUAAAAUGUUUCUCAUGAGACUUUUAGGUCCCAACCACAUGAAUUGUGGUGGCCAAUAAGGAUAGCUCUCAUGGAAGUCGUGAUUAAUGCAAGUGAGGACUCAAGUGCAAGUGUGCAAGUGUGAGAAAAUAAAGGUGCUUGUGUGUGCAAAUGAGUGAAAAUAGGAUAUUAGAUACGUAUAAGUGCAAUUUGAGUGCCAUUUGUGAGGUAGAAAAAUAAAUGAGAGAUAGGAAAAAGGUGAUGAGAAAAUGGAUUGAGAAAAAUCUAAGUAGUGAGAAAAUGUGGCUAAAAGAGUGAGGAGGUGAUAUAAAAAGAAUGCAAGUGUAUGACCCUAAGGGAAUGCAUCAGGUCGGGCACGGGAAGAACUCCUAACUUUACGACUUUGAUUUCCCUUGAAUUAGAAGGAAGAACUAGCGUGCUAAGGCUAUUUUGUAGCCAAACUCGCUCGUUUCCCUUAUCGAAAGGGGACUCUCAAGCAAAUGUACCCUAUAACUAGCAUGAAGAUGCAAAAAGCCUAAAAUGAGGGGAAAAAGAUUGGAGGAGCAUGCCAAAUGAUAAAAACUAAGAAAAAUGCAUGAAAUGUAGUGAACAUGCAAGUAUGCACUAACGAAAGGAGGACGGCCUAUUGGGUCUAGCGUUGGACUAGCCCUUUCUAUGAAUUCCUAACAGAAUAAUGAGCCACAACUAGCAUUGGACUAGUGUGGUGACGUACAUUCAUCCAUCACAUUCAUCUACGACUAUAGAAAGCAAGUAGACAUGCCAAACACUCAUAAACACAUAGCACAUAACACUUAGCAUGCUCGACUAGAUGCAAGAACCUAAUAAAGCAAGUAACACAUAUCAACAAAGGCAAAUAACCAAGCCAAUGAACCUAUUACAUUUGCUAACUAAAACAAAAGGGGAAGGCGAAGAAUGGACAAGAAUGCUUGCCAAGUCCUAUCUAUUACAAGCCAAGGGGUGUACACAUGCCCCAUUAAAAGAAUAACUUAAUAAAAACAAGAGUAAAUGAAAUAAAGGAACUAAAGAAAGGCAAGGAAAGCAAAUUAGACAUGCAAAUCUCACUUAGCACGUUGGAUCACAUAGGAGAGACAAAAAAGGAUAAAAGAAAUUAUACCUCCCCCUUUUGUGGUGCUAAUAAGGUGGACAACACUUAACUUGAGCUAUAGUCACCAAAGAAAAGGAUGACUUGGGCUAAAACCAUCAAAACAAAAGAUUAAUGCACCAAUUUAAUGGUAAAAUGUAAAUAAGACAAUCGGAAUCCAUCAAACAUCGAAUCCUUCCUCACUUGCAACUUAAAAAUAAUCAAGUAAUGAAUAAUUUCCAAGCAAAAGUGAAACCUUGAUCAAAUUUAUAAAAUAGCCAAAAGACUAAAAACUCAAUAGCAACCAUUAAUCAAUCAACCCAAAGCCAAUUGAAACGUUUUAAAAUCUUUAAAGGUCCAAGAGCAAGAAAAGGUCAAGUAACCAAUUUAUUUAGGGAAAUUAAAGAAAAUAGGAAAAACACAAGCUCAUUUAGACUCAAAGUUCACCAAUUCAUGCAUUAAAUACAACCUAACAAAACAUGGUAAUUAAUGAAAGCAAACAAACAAUCAAGUUGAAAAAUUGAAUCUAUCAAGGACUCAAUUGCGAACAUUAGCCAAGCACUCAAGCCUAAUUAAACAUUUUUUAAGAACUUCAAGGGUCCAAGGGCAAAGAAAAAGUCAAGUAAAGGUUAAAAUGCAACUACUUUAGGACCCGAUUGCAAGAAUUUAGAACAUUAUUGGGCCUUUAUAGAACAAAGGGGGACUUGAGGGGUCAAAGUGCAAUUUUAGAAAGUUAUUUCAUGCAAUCUUCAUGUAAAGACGUGAGAAGCAUUCUGCAACAAACAAAGAUGAAACUUGCAGCAUUUCCGUUUCCUUCUCAGAUUUCGGACUUAAAGAUACAGCUUGGCUCGAAGAUAGACCAAAAUCAUAGUUUGAAGCUAAACAAAACACACCACUUCAGCAUCCAAACAGGCAGCAAAAGACGCUCAUUUUCCUGAAAUUUUCGUGCAAAUGUAGCAAGGAAAACUACUGCAACAGAAAAGAAAGCUUGCUACAAUAUACCGAGCUUCUCAAAUAAAUGAAAUCAUAAUGCAACUAACAUACCAGCUGACCAAGCAAAGCCUUGACAUUAAACCCAAAGCAAAUACAAACUUCAACAAGCCAGUAACUUAGUCAUAAAAUCAUGCAAAAUCUGAAAAUGCAUGCAAAGAUUUGGAAACUUCAUUAUCCUUUGCUACAAAGUUUACGAAGCAUCUCACUUCCUCAUAGCUGACUUCUAUUUCCAGAAUUUUCGCAGCUUAUUGGCAACCAGAAAAACUUAAACAAGGCCCCAACAUCCAAGCUUCAAAGUACGUAAUACAACCCGUAACUUCGAUGUCCAGACAAACAAGAAAAACUUAGGACAGUAUCCUGAACAAUUCUGGAAAAACAUCUAUGCAAAAAUGGUUCGACAACUCGCUAUUCAAUCGUCUGCAAAUUUUUUUUUGUAAAGCUUGCGACAUGACAUUUGAUGCAGGAGUAAGUAAAUCAACUAUGAUUCGAACAUCAAACAUCCACAGCAACAUGCAAAUCAAACCCUUCACACAAUUCACAACACUCAACAAGCAAAAUGAAGUUUGCGGCAAUUUUUUUCAUUGCAGCUCUCAUGGUUUCUGGUGCAAUUUUUCUUUCCGAACAUUGCUAACGGCUCAACCAACGUCAUCUUAGGCCAAAGUAACAGAUCCAUCUAGCAUUAUUUCUGCUUUGACCACAAAAUUAACGUGAAAGUUAAGAGGAGACAGGCAUGCAAAAAUCUGAAAGAUGCCCGCAACUUCAAAAACCUUCCAAAACUUUCUUUCGGGUCAGUUCCAGCAAAAUUUUUCCAUCCCAGGUUCAGAAACAAAAAUGGAGUUGUAACGCAACUUCUAACGACACCCAAAUCUUAUUUACUCAAAGAUUACAUAUAAUCACAAGGAGACAUGGAGGAAAUUUCUGUAUGAAAACAGCAAGAAAGAUGCAAACAGCAAGAGCAAAUGAAGCAGUAUUUUGGCAUGCUUGCUACAUUUUCAGGAAUAGAUGAGGAAAAAAAAACAACAUGGGAUACCUUUCAACUGCUUUGGGCCUCAAAGGAACGUGGGAAAACUCAUGAAAAACAUGUUCCAUUGUUGGAAUCUGGCCAUCAAUCUUGCUGCAGAAAACUUCAAGAACCUGGCUUGAAUUUUUCAGAUCUCGCCAUGGGUCGUUGCUGAUGGGUGGAAGAAAACUCGACCUGCUUGCUUUUUCUUAAACGACGGCUAGAGACGGUGGAGAUGGCCGAAGUGGUGGUUUGCGGCUGCCGCAACAGCUGCGACGAGCAGUGACCGCCUCCAUCACCCUUCUCCGCUCUCUCUUUGUGAAUAUCCCUCUGCGUUCUGCUACUCAGUCCUCACGAAACCCUUCUUGCUUCUCCAGAAUUUCCAGCCAGCCUUCCCUCUCUAGCUCCCUCUUCAGCUGUCGCCAACCCCUCAGCUCUCUCUCUUGCUCUAGAUUUUUCCGUAUCUCUUCCAGAAAUUUUCCUUAUGCAGCCAUCCUCUUCUGUUUCAGCCGUCAGCCCUUCCUCAGAAUUUUUCUCUUAGCUGUUUUUGUUUGCCUUGUUUUUCCUCCUGAUUUUUCUUUUGCCGUUCCUCCACCCCUUCCCCCUCUCUUGCGGCUGCUGUUUUCUAUUUAUAUAGGACCUCAGCCCUAAACUCCCAGCCAUCUUUCCCAAAAUUGCAGCUAAAGGAGCUGCCCAAUCCUUCCUUGCAAACUGCGACAAUACGCAGCUUGCAAGUCGCGUAUAUUUUUUUUUUUUGAGAUUAAUUAAAACAAAAUUGAUAAUAAAAAUAAAUAACAAAAAUAACUUAAUUAACAUUGGAUAAAAAUAAAUAAACUAAAAACAACAAAGUGCAAAUUCCAUUUUCUUUUUUUUUUUAUUUUCCAUCAUCAUUUUUCCUCUUUCUCUUUUUUUUCCAAGAAAACAUUGAAAUUAAAUCACAAACAACUAAAUCAUAUUUUUGAAUGCUUUUCUUUUCUUUUUUUUUCUUUUUCGAGAAAUUCUAUGCUAAAAACUUACAAAUAAAAAUAAUAAAAUGAAAACUAAAAAACUAAAAACUAAAAAGUGAAUAAAACUUAACACGACAAAUAAAAAUUAAGACAAAAAUAGUAAAUGCAAAUUACACUAAAAUUUUGGUGUCUACAGUUUGCCCCUCUUUGUCUGAAUUUUGAAAAAACUUGAGACAAAAAAGUAGACACCAAAUACUCACCUAUGUUAUUUGGCGGCGAAAACGUCUCGAACAAUGGACGCUUUAGAAAUGGGGACUGACCCCUACACGAAAAUUAAAAACGGGACUGACCCGAAUAAGAAUUUAAAACGGGACUGGCCCGAACAGGAAUUUAAAACGGGACUGACGCGAACAGAAAUUUAAACGGGACUGACCCGAAUAGAAAUGUAAACGGGACAGACCCGAACAGGAAUUUAAAACGGGACUGACCUGAGCAGGAAUUUAAAAUGGGACUGACCCGAACAGAAAUUUAAACGGGACUGACCCGAACAGAAAUUUAAAACGGGACUGACCCGAAUAAAACGAAAAUCAUGGGACGCACGCUAGUGGGACUGACCCACGGCUAACGGCGGGGAAAAUGAAAUGCACACUAGUGGGACUGACCCACGGCUAGCGGCAAUGAAAAUGAAAUGUUCACUGACGGGAGUAACCUCACGCUCCAGUGGCUGUGAAAAUGAAAUGCUCACUGGCAGGACUAACCUCACGCUCCAGUGGCUGUGAAAAUGAAAUGUCUUAACAAUCGGACAGUGGGAUCAAACCCGAGCCUGCCGUAAUGAACUUGAUUUGAUUUUUGAUUUUUUGAUUUUUUGAUAUUUUGAUAUUUUGAUUUUUUUGUUUUUUUGAUUUUUUGAUUUUUUGAUUUUUUGAUUUUUCCUGACUGAGAGAGACUUGUCGAAAUAAUUUGCCCCAGUAUGAUGAAUUGAUCAGUGGGAUUAAACCCGAGCCUGCCUUGAGAAUCGGAAAUAGAAAGGCACGUUAGUGGGAUGAACCCAAUGCUAACGGAGAUAGACUAAAAAACAACACACACGUUAGUAAGAUAGACUCGAUGCUAACGGUGGUAGAAAUGAAAACGCACACGUUAGUGAGAUAGACUCGAUGCUAACGGUGGUAGGAUGAAACACACACGUUAGUGAGAUAGACUCGAUGCUAACGGUGGUAGAAUGAAAAACGCACGCGUUAGUGAGAUAGACUCGAUGCUAACGGUGGUAGGAAUGAAAACGCACGCGUUAGUGAGAUAGACUCGAUGCUAACGGUGGUAGGAUGACACGCACACGUUAGUGAGAUAGACUCGAUGCUAACGGUGGUAGCAUGAAAAACGCACACGUUAGUGAGAUAGACUCGAUGCUAACGGUGAUAGAAAUGAAAACGCACACGUUAGUGAGAUAGACUCGAUGCUAACGGUGGUUGAAAGAAAACGCACACGUUAGUGAGAUAGACUCGAUGCUAACGGUGGUGGAAGUUAGUGAAUUCAAUGUGGUUGUCAAGAAUAGGGAAAUGGAAGGGUGCGCGGCGGGCGCUGAGAUCAAAUUGAAAUUUGUCAAGGAACAAGAAAAUAAAUUCAUGUUUGAUUUUUUGAGAAUCUUUUCAACAGAUAAUUUGCCUCAGUUUCCACCAAUUAAUGUGCAACCGAUCAAUUGAUUUUCAUUACGGCAUGGUUGCUCCUCCUUGAGGCCUUGAUUCGCAAGAUUCUGACUUACGCUCAUUCGUCGAUUUCAGCCAUGGAUACCUGCACAGGGGGCUUGCCAAAGUAAACAUGCACUUAAAUUAUUCUAAAAAAUUAAUGCAACUACUACUCAUGGAAAGAGUAGCGUGAUUGAUUUGAAAGUCUUGCUUGAGUCUUUGACGAAAUCCUCAAAUGGACUAUAAAAAAUUUGCCCCAGUGUGGGCCUAUUCUCACGAAAUCUCAUAAACAAAAAUUUGUCCCAGUAUGGGCCAUUUAAUUGCAAAAAAAAACUUGUUUGGAUGACUUCUCAUUUAUUUGAACCAAGAGAAAUCGCACUUUCCAAAAUUUAGAAAGUAAUCAUAUAUACAACGUGAAGAAAUUUGAAUGUUGAAUUCAUGCAGAAAUUUCAUGAUGAAUCUCUCAGAAUAACACCAAAUUACAGAAGAUUUCCUCCUCACUUUUAGCAUCGGUGCUAAGGGUAACGGAUCACCAUUUCUUGUUGGCUCAUCUUUCAGGGCCAAUCGAGUGGGGCGUUAUUUCUGAUUUGGAAAUGGGAGGUCAAGAUUUGUCUUAUUCUUAUGCUCAAAUGGUAUGUAAUCCCUUCAAUACCACAUCUUAGUGAAAGCAAAGAGUUUGUCACCCUUAUUUCUUAAGAAAACUUAGUCAACGUAUAAGCUUUAUAGGCUUGCAACAAAAUGGGUAGAAGCGAUAGUUAAACCUGUGAAAACUAGUUAUACCCCCAUGAUCACAAAUGAUUGAUGGAUUUCUUACGAGCAUAAUCCUCACUUUGGAUUGUUAUGAAGGAAUAAGUCAACGAUGGACUUUAUUAGCUUGUAAUGUAGUUUGAAAACGAUAGUUAAAGAAAUAAUUUUCAAGGACAUUGCACCGAAGAUCGCAUUUUUCUCAAAAUUGCCCCUAUUUUGAACUCAAAGAUCUUAGACUUGGUUUGCAUUUUUCACAUCAUUCACCAGGGACUUCAGAGUCGAGUUUUCUGCAUUUUCUUGCAUUUACUUUUCUUGCUUUGCUUUUUGCCUCUUUUUCCUUUCCCUCAACUUGGUGGGUUUUCACAUGGUGAGUAGCGUCAACCCCCAUACUCAAGCAAUUCAGAAAUACAGCUAAAAUUUUCCGGCAUCAGAAAUUUUCUUGACAAGGCCAUUGCAAAGAACAGAAGUCAGGACUUUCAGCUUUUGUAAUGGGGUCUGGUGGGGUAUUUAGAAAAGUUAAGCUUUGAAGGCAGAUUUCAAGAGUGGUUUGAAGAAUCCGAGAUCGCAUUGUUGCGUCAACCCUAUUUUAGAGUUAAAUCAGAAUUUGUCCUAGUUUAUGCUCAAUUGAGGCUUUUUCUCUUUCAUUUUCUUUCGAUUUUUCGGCCUUCUGGCAUUUUUUGAACUUUCACAAAAUUUGUCCCAGUUUAUUUUUGAACUGAGGUUCUCUUUUCUCUUUUCUUUUGAUUUUGCGGCAUUAUUACUUUUUCACUUCUUGAAAUUUUUCCUUUUUCAACUCAAACUUGCCCCAGUGUGGGGUUUGCGAUUCUCAGGGGUUGCCAAAUGAAGUAUUUUAGUCUGAAGGCUCAAAAGGGAUAACUAGGGAUAGAAUGUUUGAUCGGAAAAGAAGAGGGCCUGACUUGUAUUCCGUUCCUUACAAUAACUCUGAAAGGAAACUUUCAUUAAUGGGAAAUUUUUGCAUGUACCUGAAUUAACUGACUGAGGAAGACCCUCGUUCAUCCAUAUAUGUGAAACAUAGGCGGUCCGUGCGGACAAAACUCUUCCUUUUCUUCUUUUUUUCUUUUCUUUUUCCUUUUUUCAAAAUUCCCCAAUCUCCUUCCCCAAUGUGGGGUACGAUCGUAAGUGCUUUGAAAAGAACCACCAAUUUUAGUUCAAAUGAGGAUGCAAGGGAUGAUCAGUGUUUAGGUUGUAGAAACGACGGCCAAAGUAUCAUUCUUACCCCUCAUGACAACCAAAGUAACGAAAUGGUCACUGAAAAUUCAUUCCCCUUUUUGAUAUUUGAAAAUUUUCCAAUAUAUGGUAGUGAUCAUUAGGGCUCUUAUUUGAAACGAAAUUAUUCUUUCAAAGGCUCAAAUGGGAGAGCAAAUGAUAAAAUAUGUAUAAGUAGAAAAACGAAUGCUCAAAGUAUCAUUCCAAAUUUUCAAAACAAACAAGAAUAAUGCACAUUUUUGCUUUCACUUAGAUGUGAAUUGAAUCUGGUUAAACCAAUGGGCAUUUUUCUAAGCAAAGUUCGCUCCAAUUUGCAAUUUAUCAAUCAAUGUGACUGAUUUUAUUUUGGGGUUAAGUAAAGGAGAAAAGAUAUUUCAUGGGGCCUUUUGAGUGACCUCUUUCAAUUUUUGAGCACUCUUAUUGUAUAACUCGGAUCACCAAUCUAGUGUAUACAUUUGUGAGUUUUCAGGUUGGAGGUUGAAAAAACCCCAAUUCAGUCUUAUUUCUUAAAAUUCAUCAUGAAAUCUCUUAAUGAGCUCAAUAAAGAAUGAAAUGUACACGAGUAUUAUACAAAACAAAUAAUUGUCUGAACAAAAGUUUCAUUAUUGCCAAUGUUUGAAAAAUUUUAAAAGCAAUACAUAUGAGAAAAAUUCUAAAGAAUUCCUUUACACGUGUAUACGCACUUUCCUCUCUUAAAAACCCCCUUUUCCUUUGAGCAAUGAAAUCUCUUAAAUGUUUUACACGAACGCCUUCAGAUGAAUUUUCAAAUUUCACAUUGUAGGGCUUGCCCAAGAACCAAGUAAUACUUGUAAUUUUCAAACCUUAUCAGAUUAAAAUUGUUAUCAGAUAUGGAAAGAUAUUUUUCACCUUAUUGAACUAUUUUUAUGAAUGCAGGGGGAAGGGGGAAAAACAAAAGAAAAAUACCCUGAGUUAGUAAUCAAGAUUAUAAAAUCGGCAUGCAUGUCCUAUGGGGGAGCCCUUUUAUGCCAAGGGUAGGUCUAGCAUGAAAAUGCAAUCCUUUAGGGUAGGCACUAUACCAUACCUGACGAAUCCGAUCAACUGAUUGAGUGAAAAAUGAUUUGAAAAAUUUGGCCGAUCGGAGUGAGAAGAAACAUUUGUCUUAAAAAAAUGAGAACAAAGUCCGAAAGGAUUGCUUGCUUUGGUUGACGCAUAAUGUGCCAAAAGGGGUAAAAUGGUCAACUUCAUUAAAUGAAAUUUGAAAAUUUAAUGAAAAUUGAAUGGAUAACCCUAAAAAAUGAAUUAAACUAAUCAAAUGAAUAAAAUCAAUUGAUUAAGCGAAAUGAUGAUUUAUUCAAAAUCGACCGAAUUGCCCUAAAAAUAGGUAAACUGGUCAAAUGUAUCGGAUGAUUUAUUCAAAAUUGAUAAGAUCACCCUAAAAAGGGUAAAGUGGUCAAAUGCAUUGAAUGCAAUUCAAAAAUCGACCAAAUCACCCAAAUAGGGUAAAUUAGUCAAAUGAAUUGAUUGAAAUCGAUGAUUUAUUCAAAAAUCGACCAAAUCACCCUAAAAAGGGUAAAUUGGUCAAAUGAAUUGAAUGAAAUUAAUAGUUUAUUCAAAAAAUCGACCAAAUCACCCAAAAAGGGUACAUUGGUCAAAUAAAUUGAUUGGAAUUGAUAAUUUAUUCAAAAAUCGACCAGAUCACCCAAAAGGGGUAAAUUGGCCAAAUGAAUUGAUUGGAAUUGAUGGUUUAUUCAAAAUUGAUUGAAUUGACCUAAGAAUGGGUAAACUAAUCAAAUGAAUUAAAUGAAAUUGGUGGUCUAUUUAAAAUCGACUAGAUUGCCCUAAAAAUGGACAAAUUGAUAAAAUGGAUUGGAUGAAAUUGAUGAAGGAAAUGAUCCAAUGGAUUGAAUGAAAUUGGGAGCUUAUUAAAAAAUCAAACUAUCCACUGGUAGUUUCAAAAAAAUAUUACGAUGCAUUAGCCUAUGAGCCUUCUAAAAUCAAAUUUUGGCCUCAAUUUAUUUAUCGUCUCAAUAGGAGGAAUCAUUUGUAAAUUUCUUCAGAUUAAUGUCCUUUGCGCAAGGGAUUUUUACCAACUUUGAUAAAAUGGCCAAAAGUGAUUAUUAGACGUUCAUAUUCCAAAAAUCGCUCCUAUGAAGACGACUGGAUCCUACCUUACCUUGUGCACUACCCCUUUUGAUGGUAUAAAAUGUAAACGUGCAAGUCUCUUUGGAUUAAGUAUCCGAGACACAAGGUGAUUUAUUCCUGACACGGGAUCCCCUAAAUGGCAUUCCCUUCUAAGGUGGAUGCAUGAUGCCAGUUUAUUAAAGCAAUAAAACAUGCGAUUUAAAGAAAAACAUGCUCUAAGGAGCCCUUUAUACGCCAGGGUAAGCCUAAAAAUGACAUGCCAUUAUUAAUUUAUGAAUGAAAUAUACCGAAAUUUCUAAACGUGCAAUAACCUAUCUAUAAGGGUAGGUCCUAAAAGAGGAUCGUGUCAGACCUCUUAUUUCCUAACGUUUGUGAAUGCAAAAGACAAGAGACAAGGAAAGUUAGUUCAAUACAUAACACGUUGGACAAUUUAGAUAAUAUAAAAAGCAACAAAGAUAUAUAAGGAAAGGGGGUGGGAUCCCUCCCCUCGCGAAUGGUGUCCCUAAUAGGGUAAGAGCGGUUUCUCUUGGGCUUGGGCGGCAUGAACCAGGGCUUGAAGUGACUCCUUGAAUCUCUUGGAUCGUGCUCGUGUCAUUGGCCCUUGGGGCACCUUUACAGGGUCUACUUGAACACCAUGGCUCUCGUCCGCAUCAGACCUCAACCCUAAACUCCCAGCCAUCUUUCCCAAAAUUGCAGCUAAAGGAGCUGCCCAAUCCUUCCUUGCAAACUGCGACAAUACGCAGCUUGCAAGUCGCGUAUAUUUUUUUUUUGAAAUUAAUUAAAACAAAAUUGAUAAUAAAAAUAAAUAACAAAAAUAACUUAAUUAACAUUGGAUAAAAAUAAAUAAACUAAAAACAACAAAGUGCAAAUUCCAUUUUCUUUUUUUUUUUAUUUUCCAUCGUCAUUUUUCCUCUUUCUCUUUUUUUUCCAAGAAAACAUUGAAAUUAAAUCACAAACAACUAAAUCAUAUUUUUGAAUGCUUUUCUUUUCUUUUUUUUUCUUUUUCGAGAAAUUCUAUGCUAAAAACUUACAAAUAAAAAUAAUAAAAUGAAAACUAAAAAGUGAAUAAAGCUUAACACGACAAAUAAAAAUUAAGACAAAAAUAGUAAAUGCAAAUUACACUAAAAUUUUGAUGUCUACAAUAGGUUUUUCUUGGGGUUGUUUUUGUUGUUAAUAAAGAUUUUCUUUUUUCAACAGCCAAUAGCUUGGAGACUUUUUUGUCAGUAGACUAUAGUUCAUGUUGAGACUUUUUUGUCAGUAGCCUAGAUUUUGUGUUGGGACUUUCUUUGUUAACAUUUUUUCAAAUUCUUUUUUUUUUUAACGAUAAUUGGUUUUUUUAGUUUUUUUUUUCAUCCUACUAACAAUUUCAGAAAAGAAUACUCAAAAUGUUUGAGAAAAAACCAAUUUACGUAUAAUGUUGUUUAUUUCAAUUUUCAAAUAUGUAUGUAGACGACUUGCUGUCAAGCCUUUUAUGAGGUUACUAAAACUAAACAUCUAAAAAGUAGCUAACUUUAUAUUAUUCAUUUAUUCAGAUUAUUAUGACUUGCCAUCUUCCUAUUAUUUGAAAAAUCAUAAGUUGGGAGAAAGCUAUGCAAAGCCUUCACAAGUAUAUAGUGUUAAUAAAAAAACAUAUAUAUGGUAUUGCCAAUUGAAAAAUUGGUGGUAAAUGUAACACUAACAUUCAAUCUAUGACGACUCGUAAAAUUUCUUAUAUUUUUCUUAAAAUUUUCUUUAAUUUAAAAUUUAUUACUUUACAAUAAUUUUAAUACACAUUCACUUCCCCAAUAGGUACAAAUAAUCAUAGAAACAAGGGUUUUCUUUUUACUUUCAUUGUUACGAUAAAUUAGGGUUUUACGUCUUUUCAUAGUGUGACUAUUCGGUACGGAGUGUGUAUCAAAUUUGGUGAAUAAGAGUGAGUUUUAGAUGAUAUUAAGUGUGUGAUUAGAAAUGAUAAUAAUAAAUUAGUGAAUUAUAAGAUAAAACUCUAGUAUAUGUGAUUUAAGGAAAAUCGGCUCGAACCGACGGGUAUCGUUCAUUACCGAUUGAACACACCACUUGACCACCACUUCAUUAACUUAAUCUCAUUGUUAUUAGAGCCAAAAUAUCAGCCCAUAAUCAGCAUGUGAUGGCCAAAAUUUUUGACUUCAAGAACCAAGAGAAAAGAAAAAAAUUGAGAUGGAAAUUGGUGGUGACAAGUGGCAUCAAUCCAUGCAUUUUUACCCAAAUUAGGACAAAGCCUUAUAACCUUCUUGGACUUCAUUUUCCCUUCAUUUUUCAUUCCUCUUGGUUGAACCUAGGAGAGAAAAAAAGGGAGAAAAUAACUUCAAUUCCAUCUUGGGUUUUGCUUAAUUGAGUGAGAAAACAAAAAAACUAAACCGAUUAACUUGCAAAUUGAGAGCUUGGGAAGCUUAGGGAGCUAAAUUUCACAAGGAAAGGUGAAGGAUAACUCUUGAAAGCCCUUUUAUUGAGGUAUUAUGGCUGACCAUCCUUUCCUUUUCCCUUACUCUUGCUUGAGUUAUGUAGUAACUUGAAUUCAUGCUUGGUGAUACCUAAUCUAAGUGAUUUUGACGAUUGUAGUGAUGAAUUUUGAGUUAGGGUUUUGAAUGGGUCAUUUAUAUUUCUUAUUGUUUGGAUGGUAUAUGGUAUAUAUAAUCUUGUAUAGGAGGUUGUGAUAGUGGUUUAAGCUAGAAAUGUGAAGUUUACCCUUUGAAUCCACCAAAUUCCAAAUUUGAGUAUUCAUGUUACCCUGUUCUGACUGGUUCUGUUUGACCAUGAUGGUGGCCAAAUUAGGCUUAGUACAAAACAUAAAAGUUGUAGGGAAUGAUGUUUUAUAGCUGCCUAUAAAAUUUCACCUAAAUCAGAACACUGUAGCACUUGAAAAGACAAAAAUACCCCUGACUGCCAUAGGUAGAGCUCUGUGGACAGUUUUGACAUUUCACCAAUAUGACCGCGUCUAUUCACCCUGAUCCGUACUGAAUUAGCAUUUGAUAAAAAACAUAGAAGUUGUAGUGCUAUGUCUUAGCCUUCCAACGGCCAUAAAAACGCCUCAAUCAAACUCUGGUAGCCUGAGUUAUUGUCGUUUACGCAUAGUGAGGUUAACUAGCCUGAGUGUGAGAUUCUGGUUCUGUAAUUGGAAAUUUUGACCUGGAUACACUACGAACUGGACUGAGUGGUCUUCAACAAAGUUGUAGCCCUUUAUCUUAGCUUCAAAAUGGUAUAAAUUGCACACUAAUUCAAUAAGCAUAGCUUCGGUUGUGUCCGAUACGCUAAGCGACAUCAAAUCUAUCUUUUGUUUUAUGAAUUAAACUUCAUUUUCGGACAUUUUCCUAACUUGAUUUUGUACUUGUACAACAUUGAACCUAUUGAAUGGCUAUUGAAAUGAAAUUAUUUUGUGUGUGACUUUGGGACUGAUUGAGGACAAGAAUGAAGCCAUAAAUGGUUGGAAAAUAAGUAAAUACAAAGGGCGUGCUGCCCAAAUUUGCGCUCGAGGGCUAGGUAGAUAUACUCGCGAUUUGCGUAAAGAUUUGAGAACAAUACCACUUGAACCAUUUAGGAUAUUUGCAUCUUCUUUUAUCGAGGUAUAUAAGUUAGAACUUGGCCGACCUUGUAUCCUUGGAAAAUAAAAGUAAUAAUCAAUAGAAAUAUGUUUUUCUCGUUCUUUCGACUCCAAUGGGAAUUCUAAAGUUUUAACCGCUUUCUUACCGAAACUAAACGAACGAGCAUAAAUUUUUCGAAAUUUGAUAAGUAUCUUGAAUACUACUUAAACGAGUUGCAUUUACUUGAUUUUCUUGAAGCAAAACUCCUAUGUUUCAAACUUGAGAGAGUUUUACAUUCAUCAAUGAUAUUUUAUCGCAGAUUUGGACUUCAACCAAGGAAUUGGACCUAAACGUGAGUUUUGAAAAGCACUACAUUUUGGUGAGUGCUUCCAAAUACCUGGUUGAACUAGACAUUUGUUGUCAAUAUUUGAUCAAUGUAAAUACAUGAUAUGUGAUUUGUUUGAUCGGGUAAGAGUGUACUUUAUUGCACUUGUUCUAAUAUGGUAUAUACUUGUUUAUUGUUGUAAUUAACUUGAUAUACUUGUACUUGAGUUGUAAGUGUGGAGCAGCAGUAUGUACCACACUGAAUCCGAGUAGGACGUACUUCUCAUUCCCGUCUCCGUACUUUUAUUUUGAUUCAGUCGAUUGGAGAUGUUAUCUCAUCGACAUCUUGGGGACCUAAACCCCACUGGCUAGUUAAUUGAGUCGAGCCGGUAAGGGGUUGGUCGAUUAGAUAACGAACCAUGGGUAGUUAGUGAUGUCGAGUAGAGUGUUAUCUCCUCGACUAAUCGGUAUACUCGAGUAUUACCACCAGUGUUUAGUUGGUGUUCGGGCCCGAUAAGGGGGUUGAAUGGUGGACGGAUUAGAGUUAAACGAAGUACUACUGGAUUGGUUACUUUACUUGAAAGUUGAUGGAGUGUCAACUAAUAUUUGAUUAAACUCUGGUGAAACAAUGGGAACUUGGCUCCUGAGAGCCAUCCGUAUCCUUAUACUUUGAAAUGAUUAUUGCUUAUUGGAUUAUUGUUUCUUUUGAAAAACAAAAGCACUUUACACUCAUUCAUUUUGAAAUUUACUACUUGAAGUGUAUUGUUCACUUUUAUGAACAUGUUAUGCUCGUUCUUUUGCUACGUUGAUACUUGUACUUUUAAAUAAUGGUCAACUUGCUAUUUGGAAUCUCACUGGGCUUUUAGUUUAUUCCACUCCAUUUGUUUUCCUUACAGGGGGUACAAGCGAGGCGUAAGACGUGUACAGACUAGCGUAGUCUAGUUGCUUUUUAAUUUUGAAUUGUACUUGCGCUAGCACCCGACUAGGGUUGGUUGUACUUGAAUUAUAAACGCUUUGAAGUAUUUUGGUGUGUAGAAGAUUUGUAUCUGGAUUUGAGUAUCAAUGUAUAUAUUAAGUUGAAGGGGCUGUGUUAUUUAUUUUCUAUGGAUGUAUGUUAUUUUUUUUCUUGAACCCUGAGUGAGUGAAUCCUAGCGAGAGUUAGGCAGGUGAUCCGCCGAACCCUGGGGUACGCCCUAGGGGGAGGUGGGGCCGUCACACAAUCUUCUUUCAAACUUUUUUGCAAGGAAGAAGUUAAUGGAUGUGUCUAUUACUUCGGAAGUAGGAAACUCACAAACAAGUUUUAGAAGGAUGCACAAUAUCUAUACCAAAGGGUGUGAAUCUGAACUAAAUAAAUGAGUCAAUUUCUUUCUAUCAUGUGGUAGUUUUUGCUAAUUAGAACAAAUAAUCUGAAUGAUUUCAUGUUUGUAGGCAAUAACAAGCUUUCCGAAGAGUGAGAAAUCUGAAAUACUAGAUUUCGAGCAUUGGUUAGAAGCCCUAUUUUGUACCAUACUGCAGAAGAUAGAAAGUGGAUGGAACUUAAGCAAAAGUGAAUUAGUUUAGAUGAAACUUAAGCACAAGUGAAUUACUCAGAGACCACCUAGCCACGCUUAUACCAAGAAUGGUCCACAUUGACAACUACUUUGUCAAUGUGGACAGCAAGAGGAGUGGCUAUCAAUUUCUAACCACGGUAGUGGCACUCUUGGAGAGCUCAUCGGCUCUGAGUCUCACCACUCUUUUUUGUUCCUUUUUGGUGAAAAUGGCAAUGCCAUACAUGGUUACUGUGACAGCCACAUGAACUGCCACAGCCCGAAAUAAGUACAGUUUACAUGUGUUUCCAACUAAAUAAGUACAGUUUACAUUUGUCCUCUUGUAAUAAUACUUGAAAGAAUAAUAUCUUGGGUAUAAGAUACAAAUGAUUGCAUCGCAAGUAAGUUUAUUUAAACCUGGUCAUAUGCCACCUAGGAGAACCACAUCACAUGAACUAUUAGAGCCUUAACUCACAAAGAUGGAAUAACCUUAGGGAUGUGGAUGGCAAUUGUGGUGGGAAUCAUAACACUAUUGGGCUGGGGGUUGUGGUGGUGGAAUUAUUUUCAAUUUGCUCUGCCAGUUACUUUCCGGCAUUCUGGAGGCAGCAUCACGACCAAGCUUCCUUUUGGCCACAUGGGGAUUCCAUUUUUCGGAGAAAUGCUUCAUUUUCUUUGGUAUUUUAAGGUUAUUCAUCGACCUGACGACUUCAUUAACAAUAAAAGAUACAAGUAAGGUUUUUCUCCAUGUUUGAGUUUUAUUCCUUUCUUGUUCAAUUUUAUUACUAGUAAGUUUGUUUGCACAACUAUCCAACUUAUUGCUAUAUACAUGGAGGCCAUUGGCUCGAAUUCAUGGCAUUUGGCUGUAGCAAUUUCUGCAACAUCUUGUAGACAAUUGCAUGUCUACUUCCUCAAGUGUAGAAGUGCAGGAGCUGAUCCACACGUUAGUUAUGUGCCUUUUGAUGAAUUGAACUUAAAAAGGAUCGAUCUCGCUAUCAAAUUCUUGUAGUGUAAAUGAAAUUUGGAAUAUGAAAGGAAUGCUACGAUAAUAGUGAAGAACUAAAAUUGCUUUUGCACCUUUUCUUUUUCAAUUUCUAUCUUACAAUGGACCUAUGAUAUUCAAUUUAAUUGAAGAACAUGGUUUAAAAUUAUCCUCAAUAUUUUCUAACCCAAAAAGGUGAAUAUUGUAGACAUGUAUUGAUGGGUGGAUUAUUUUCUGUAAGAAAACAUUUUCGUGUUAAAACAUUUCAUAAACAAUAGCAUUUUCUUAAGUUUUCAGGUCAUGACACGUUCCUUCCCUUAAUACAGUAUAAAAGAAGAGUUUAUAUGCAGUCUAAUCAAAUCACAUAAAAAUCCAUAAUGCCUUCAACUUUAUUAGCUGAUGAUGUUUUGUCGUAAAGAUUUUCACUCAAAAAAAGUAAUGGAGAUGGGAAUUGGAGCUAAAAGUUUACCAGAAAUUGCAACAUUGCAGUCUAAUCAAAUCACUUAAAAUCCAUAGUGUCCUCAACUUUAUUAGCUAAUGGUGUUUUGUGGUAAGGAUUUUCACUCACCAUGCCAUUUAGCAUGCUUGAAAACUCUUCACAAUCAUAAAUUUCCAAUCAAAUCAACAAUAAAUGUGAAGGACAAUAAAUUUGAUGGGAGCUACUCUUGCAAUUUUCCCUACAAAUAGGCAGGAAAAGACGUAAGGUGAUGUCAUGUCACUCUAAAACAAAGUUAUUAAACCCGUUCUAUUUGAGCAGUUCAAUCGGCUAAUCUAGUGAAUCGACUAUUUAACUGGGUUAGGUUGAUAGUUGGAGAUGAUAAUAGAUUCCUAUUGAAAAGUCAUCAACCUGUCGCUUCAACUAAUGAACUCCCAAACUCGAUGAAUUUGAUCACCAGUUCAAUAAUUAUAUUUUCUUAACAAUUAUAUUAUUUCAUUAUAUUAUGACCCACUAGUUUAACCAAUUAACUCCUGAUUAAACCCUUGAACUAAUCUACUUACCAGGUUGAUGACUGUGCCGGAUUUAAUUAUUAUGCUCAAACCUGUUCCAAAAUAACAAAUUUAAUAAGUUAUAAAAUUUGAAUAGAGGAAGAUUAUAAUUAUUUUAUGCCCCCAAAAUAUAUUUGAGUUAUUGGUGCCAAGAGAAUUGAUUAAACAAAAUUGAUUUUUCCAAAAUUGAUGUUGCCUAACCUGUUUUGAGAAAUUGAUGUUGUCACCGUGUGCUCGUGUCAAAUCUGCAAGUUGUGGAUUAAGUGGGAGGUGAGUUGACAUUUCUUCUACCUAGCACAAUAUUUCAACUUGCUGGUUACAAAUUGUUAAACAAUAAGCUUUCCCAAAAAAAUAAAAAAGAUACAAAUUGACUUCAUUAGCUUUAGAGUAAAAUUAAGGGUAAAAAACAAAAAAAUCCCCUGUGGUAAGCCUAAUACACAGAAAAGCCCCAUAUGGUUUCAAAAUAUACAAUACGACACCUCAUACUUUAAACUAAAUUAUAAAGGUGACAAAAUCCGUUAAAUUUAACGGAAAUGACUUAUUGAAACCUAAAAAAAAAAUUUUAUGACUAAUUUUUAUCAAAUAUACCUAUUCUACCCCUUAACCCUCAAUUCUCUCUACUUAGAGACUAAAACAAAUGAUUUUUUUGAGCUGUCUUUUGCUUAAUUAUUUCAGUGCAUUUUGGUCAUUUUGUCAAUUUCCGUUAAGUUUAACGGAUUCCGUCACCUUUACAAUUUAGUUCAAAGCAUGAAGGGUCGUGCUGUAUAUUUUGAAACCAUGGGGAUCUUUUCUGCAUAUUAGGUUAAUCACAUGGGCCUUUUUUGUUUUUUACCCUAAAAUUAAUUAUAAUUAACAUGGUGCUUCCAAAUUAAUCAUUUAAAUCAGAUAUGGUGAUGGAGAAGGACUGUACAAAAGCCUUCUCUUUGGUUCACCUUCUAUAAUUGCAUGCUCUCCAUCGGCUAACAAAUUCAUCCUUCAAUCAAAUGCAAACUUUGGCAUGGGAUGGCCUGCCACUCAAAUUAUAGGCAACAAUUCCCUCCUUUUCCUCCAAGGAUCAUCACAUGCAAGGAUUAGAGGAUUAGUUGUGAAGGUCAUUAAUCAACCUGAUGCUCUCCAUAAGGUAGCCAUUAUGGUCCAACCAAGAAUAGUUGCAGCCCUUCGACUAUGGUCAGAGAAAGGAAGAAUUGUAGCAUUGCAAGAGGCUAAGAAGGUUGACUAAUAUAUGUAUAAAAAUUAUAGAUCUAUAUAAAAUUUUCUUGAUGUAAGUUAUCAUACUAAUUUCAACUUUCAUGAAAUCUCUCUAGGCCAUCAUUUUCCUUAUUUUUCGUUAUUUUUUCAUUGUCCUUGAAAGUUACUUUUGAAAAUAUUGGGAAGUAUUUUUUCGGGUUCGAGCCAGGACCCCAUUUGGAUACACUUGAUCAGCUAUUUACAGGUAUGAUCAAAGGAGUUAGAAGUCUUUGAUUAAUGGUUUAAGGGCGGGAUGGGAGGUCCCCGCUGGGAUUCGGCCAGUUGUUCGCGCUAUUUGGCUGGUUGCUCCAGGUUUUCACCAGUUCUGUCAUUGCUUCCGAGAGGGGAAUACGGUGGCGGAUUCCCUAGCAACAUAUGGGGCCGCGUCGGGAACUCGCUUUCUGUUCACUACAGGCUCACAGUUGCCGUCUCGUACAAAGGGGCUUUUAGCUUUGGACUUACAGAAUUUUUGUAAUUUCCGAUUUUCUUUUCGGAAGUAAGGCUUUUGCCUUACUCUGGGCUUUGAUUAAUAAAAAGUAAUAGUUCUUAUAAAAAAAAAAGGAAUUAGAAGUCAACCAAUUAAAAUUCCAGGGACUGCUUAUCAUCACGCCCUCCGGGCUAGAAAGCUCACUCUUAAGCUAAAAUAGUACAAAAAUGAGUAAAUUCCCUUUAUGGGAGGUUUUUAAUUUCUAAAGUUCCAAUUCUUGUAUGAGGUAGACUUAAAUUCCAAUCACUAAUCACAAAUUUGUCAUUCCACAGUGUCGGAAGAAAGUCAUGACAAUUUUUACCAUGGAGAUAAAUAAGAAAAAGUUUGAAGGCAAUGCUGCAAGAGCUGAGUUUGAUUUGGUGGACCAACUCUUGAACCUAAAAGAUGACGAUGGUAAUCAAUUACAAGAUGAAGAGGUGCUUGAUAACAUUGUAGGCCUAAUAAUUGCUGGCUACGAAUCUACUUCACUUUCAAUUAUGUGGAUUUUGUAUUAUCUCGCCAAGCACCCCCAAUGUACUCAAAAAGCUAUGGGUAUAAGUAACUUCCAAGCACUAUCUAGAUAACAACCAAAGAUAAACUUCUUUACUUGUUCUUGAUUACAUUUAUAUAUGUUUCCUUUUUCAUGACUCUAAAUCGAAUGAAUUGUAAGAGGAGCACAUGAAUGUUGGUACAAAUGGUGAUUUCAUAAGACGUGAUGACAUUCUAAAAUUGCACUACACAAACAAGGUAUAUCUGCACCAAGAUUAUACGGAGAUUAGUUAGGAAAUGCUAAUACUAUUAUUAAUUUGUUAAAGGUUCAUCUAUUUGGUGUCCUAAGGUAAUUAAAUAAGAAGUAGGUCUAUUUUUCAAAAAUGUAGAAGAGUAAAUUUUGUUGAAAAGUGUUGCAAUUGAGAGAAUGAUUGGUACUUAUAAAGGUUUAAUACUGGCCCCCAACCUUCUUUUUUUUUGUGCUUAUCUAGUUCCUUAACAACACCAAAUAGAAAAAAGAAAGAAAAAAUGUUUACACUAAAAUAGUGGUCGCGUGCCUUUUUGAAAAUCUCAUCAUUUGUUGAGGAUGCAAAUGGCGGCGAUGAUGCAUCUUGUUUUAUGGGAAUGUAUUUCAUAGAUCCAACCUAUCCCUUUAUCAUAUAGUCAAAAGUUAUAUAUACCAUCAAUUAUUUGACAUGGUACUUUAUUUGUAUUUGAUACUGUUGGGAAAGGGGUACAGGUACAGACACACAAUAUCAGAGUUAGUCCAAAAUAAAUUUCUCUUUCUUUAAAUACCAGUUAAAAUAGGAAUAAAUCAAAUCACCAAGUAAUAAUACCAGCAGUGAUUAUAAAAUACAAGAAAAAUAAAAGGCACAAGACACCAAGAUUUUUACGUGAAAAAUUCAAAUUGGAAAAAAUCACGGGAUCUAGUCCAAUAAAAAAUCUCCACUAUCAUAACAAUAGAAAUACACAGGUCUACCCGAAAUAUUCGGAUGACAAUAAUAUCAUCAAUACCAACCAAGCCAAUCUGCUACAAAAUCACCCCCAAAAAUUACAACUGUCAAAGAAGUAGGUUUGGAAAGGUGCUAUCAAACAAAAAGGAAAUCUGAAAUCUGAACAAGUAGAUGAGUAGAACUUGACGAGAGGAUCGCGUAUGUAAAAUUUCGUCUCAAUUGGACUUCAAAUCACUUUCCAACUGAGGUUUCAAAGUUGCAAAGAAUGUUCUCUCUCUAGCUCUCACUCUUUCUUCCUCUUCGUUUCUCUCCCAAAUUCUGUGGCUGGAAUUCUUCUCACAAAAAUGCUUUCUAGCGAUUGUCUCAAUGUUCCGUCACAUGAAAAAGCCCUCAAGUCUUAGUGACUUGUGUUUUAGGUUGGCCCACAAAUGGGCUGUGUGACGACCCCACCUCCCCCUAGGGCAUACCCCAGGGUUUUGCAGACCGCCUGCCCAAUUCUCGCCAGGACUCGUUCACUCUUAAUAAAUAAAAUAAGAUAUAACUUUAAGAAUAAGUGAAAUAAUAGUUCCCAAACUUGGAACGUGCACUUACAUUCAUAUCUUUCCCAAACAUUCAUACAAUCCCAACUAUAACAAAAGUUGUGAAUUCCAGAUACAUUCAAUCCUAACCAAGCACUAGCGCGAGUACAAUCGCAAAAUUUAAAAAAUUAGACUAUGCUAGUUUGUACCAGUCUCACGCCUCGCUCGUACCCCCUGUAAGGAAAACAAUGCGUGGAAUUAGCUAAAAACCCAGUGAAAUUCCUAAACAAGGAAUCAGGUAUAGAAAUCAGGGAAACGUUACAUUUAACAAUUUGCACAUUUUGCACAGUAAUAUCCAGUCAUUCAAGAAAUAAACACUCAAUCAUUGGAAGGAUACAUGCUCACUUGGAGCCAUUUAUUCAUUCAUUCGUCAAUCAUUUUCCUUAUCCCUCCGAUAUUAGAAAACAUUUGCAAGUGAAAACUCCUCUAGUUCUUGAUAUUCAUUCAUUCAUUUCAUUUCCCGCCACUAACCAAUUCACUGGCCAAUCUCCACCAAUCUUCGUGGUCAUACUCGAGUAUACCAAAAUACUAUGUCAGGGUCACCAACCGUCCGACCGAGUCCACUUCUGGCUCGAGUCGGCUGGCAACGAUGGGCAAGGAUCUAAUUCAGUUAAAAGGCUUACAUUCAUGCACAAGUAGCAUUCAAUCAUUGAAAAUUCACUUUGGCUUGGGUCGAGUGCGAUAAAGUACACACUCACCAAUCGAAAAUCCAUUUAGUAAUCCUUAGAAAGCAUUUAACAUUCAAGCAAACAUUCACAAAUAGUCACAUAGUCACUUAUUGUACAGACACACAAGGAACACUCACCAAAGAUUUAGUACUUGUCAAAAUCACGUUCAGGUGUAACUCCUUGGUUGGAGUCCAAAUCUGCGAUACAAUAUCAUUUAAAAACUUGAAAUCAACUAGGAUUCGAAACUUAAGAGUUUCGCUUUAAACAGAUCAAGUAAAUGAAACUCGUUUAGAUAGAAUUCAUGUUACGUAUCAAACUCUAGAAAAUUUAUGUUCGCUCUUUUGGUGUUGCUAAAGAAGCAACUAAAACUUUGAAAUUUGCAUUUAAAUCCAAAAGACGAGGAAAAUAUAUUUUGAGUGGUCACUAUUUUUAUUUUUCCAAGAGUACGAGUUUCGGCUAAAUUUCAUUUUAUAUACCUUUAUGAAAGAAGACUCGAAUACCAUGGACAAUCCAAGUUCAAUUCAACCUCAAAUUUUCAUUCAAGUCGCGAGUACACACGCUUAAUUCUCGAGUAAAAAUUUGGGCGGCAUGCCCUUUGUAUUUAGCUAUUUUUUCAGUCAUUUAUGACUUCAUUAUUUUUUCUCAAUUCAGCCCCAAAGUCACACAUAAAUAAUCUUACCACAAUAGCCAUUCACUAGGUUCAAAGUCAUUCAAUUACAAAUCAAUGUUUACAAUACGAUCGGAACUAAUGUUCAAGACAAAUAGCAUAAUAAUAGGUUUGACGUCUCUUGGCAUUUCGGUCACAACCGAAGUUACGCCUAUCAGUUUGGGGUACACUUUACACCGUUUUGAAGCUAAUACAGAAAACUACAAGUCUUAUGAAGGCAUCGAUAGCCAUUUCAUUCAUUUUCAAGGUCAAAAGGUGCAAUCUCAAAGAAAACAGAAAACUAUAGGCGAAACAGUACAUUUGGCAGUCAAGGGUAUAUUUGUCAUUUCACAUGGUACCAUACUCUGAUUGAGCUGAAAUUUUGUAGACAAUUAGCUAACACCAUUUUCUACAACUUUCAUGUUUUAACCUAAGCUUGAUUCGGCCUCUAAUAUGGACGAAUUAAACUAGUCAGAAGCAGGACAGAUUUCUCUCUAAAGCUGGAAAUUUAAUGAUUCAAUGCUUACUAGUCAUAUUCAUAUCUUGAAUCACUAUCCAAGUCCCUAUCCAAGCUCCUCCACAUCAUAUACUAUAUAAAUAACAAUAAACACGCUGAAAAUUCCAAACCCUUGCUCAACAAUCCAACAUAUCAUGCCAAACUAACAAAUUAACCGUCUGAAGCCAAGAAUAUAAGAUUCUAUCCAACUUAAACAAGAUUAAAGAAUAGAAAAAGGAUAGGCAGCCAUAAUACCUUUCCAAAAGUGCUUGUAAGUGAUAACCAAACAUCUUUCUUACAAAAAUUUUUCCACACAAAGCUUGCCAAACACCACAAGGUAAGUUUAAUCAGUUUAGGUUUUGAAAUUUCACUCAAACAAGAAGAAUUCAAGGUUAAAGUGGAACUUUUCUCUCUUGGUUUUUCUCCUCCCUCAAGCUCGGCGACAAGAUGCAAAAAUGAAGAAGAAAUGAAGUAAAGUUGGUGAUAAAAAUGAAGGAAAUUGGUUGGUCAAACAACCCUUGGAUGGUUGCCAAGUGUCGCCUCAAGCUUCAAUCUCAAAUUUUUUUCUUUUCCUCUCUUUUAUUCGUCAAUAAUUUUGGCUGAUUAGAGGAGAUAUUUGGGGCUAAUUUUGCUGAAACAAAAGUAAGAAAAUUAAGGUAAUAAAGUAGUGUUCAAGUGGUGCACUGGUAGCGAACGGUACUCGUCUGUUCAAACCAAUUUUCCUUAAAUCGCGCGUACUAGGGUUUUAACUUAUGAUUUACUAACUUAUUAUUAUCACUUCUAAUCACACACUUUCUCUUAUAUAAAACUCACUCUUAAUCACCAAAUUGAGUACACACUCCACACCGAUUAAUCACACUACCAAAAGACGUAAAAACCCUAGUUUACCUUAACGAUAAAAGUAAAGGGAAAAUCCUUGGUUCUAUGAUUAAUUGUAACUAUUGAGAAAGUGAAUGAGUAGUAAAUCUAUUGUAAAAUAAUGGAUUCCAAAUAAAAGGGAAUUUUUAAGAAAAUAUGAGGGAUUUUACAAGUUCUCACAAUCACACUACCAAAAUGCACACAAAAACACACACCAAAACCCUUCCUUUAGAAAAAUCAUAACUUAAGUUAUAAAUAUCAAAAAUUUAUACAACUUGGCUUGUUAAAAAUUAGACUUCAAAUAUUAAGAAUCUUUAGAAGACACCUCAAAGAUAUUUUGUAGACACCAAAUUUUUUUAUUUUUAUUUUAUUUUAUUUUUUUAAUAAUUAUUAUCUAUUUUAUUUUAUCAAUCUCAUGGUUUUAUUUUUAGAUUUUUUUUAGCAUUUUAGAUACCAAACCUUUUUAAUUUAGCUUUAUUUGUUAUUAUUUUCAUUUUUAUUGUUUAGAUAUAUUAUUAUUCUUAACUUUUAGCAUUAAAAAAAAAGAAAAAAAAGAGAAGAGCGCAAGAUGUCAGUACAGAAGCAAAAAUUAAAUCUGGCCAUUUCUUCCAUUUUUACUCAUUUCCGUUGCAUUUUUUGUAUAAAGUCCAGCUCAUCAUUCAAAGAUUUCAUUCAUAAAAAAAUCAAAGGGACAAGAACAAGACACAUAAACCUAUUUUGGGGUUUGAAAUCUCAGCCUUCCAUCGUAGGUUUAGGUUUUCGAUUCCUUUAAAUGCUUGAAAACACAUCUAGCAAAAAGGGAAGGCAAGUGUGACGAUGGAAAAAAAAUAGAAAACGGCGGAGGGAAAAACCGAGAGAGAGCUUGGGGUGGAGGCUACGGAAAAAGACUAAAGAAAAGCUAAGGAAGAAAAAGGGGGACGUUGGCAGGGGAACGAAGAAAAAGACUAGAGUUUCGUCUAGGGCUGGCGGCUGAAAAAGAGAGAAACAGAAACAGGAGAGAAAGAAAAGGGCCACGGCGGGUAAAGAAAAGAGAGGGAGGAAAAGGAAACAAAAAGGGGCUUCAGGCUGAGAAAAAGGGGGCUUCGGGCAUUAAGAAAAACAGAGGAAAGAAAACAGGGGAGGCUUGCGGCUGAGAAAAGCAGAGCAAAAGGGAAAAACCAAAGGGGCGGCGGACUAAGAAACAGAGGAACCACCGCCGCUCAUGCCGCCACCACCUCGCCGAACCCACCAUCAUCACCAUCCUCCCUCUUUGAAUUUCAAUUUUCCAUUUUAGCAAAACAUUGGAAAGUCUCAAAGCAUGUCUGGCGUGCACUUGUUUAGGGUAAAUUUCAUGUUGAUGGCUCCCGAUUUUAGAUUGUAUGCUUUGUAUAUUGGUUGGACUGGGAUCUCUUGUGUUUUGAUAAAUUUUGGGGCUAAUUACGGUUUCAAUUAAGCAAGAAUCGGUGAAUUUCCUUUUGCCCAUCUAUUGCUCGAUGAAAUGCCCAACUGAGGGUUCGGUUUUGAAGGGACGAAUUGAUUUCUGAUUUGCAUGUGUUCGGCCAGUCCAUGCUUGUCAAAAUUAUUGAUUCAGAUGGGUCUGUUUGGCGUCCGUUUGUUUGGCAUCUAUUCUGUUUCUCUUUUGCUUGGUGUUCUUUUGGUAUGAACCCAAAUUAAUGACAUGAGUGGAUUGAGAUUAGAUUCGUGUGAGAGUCGUUUAUGUGUGAGCCUGAAAUCGAACUUUCUAGUGUUCUUCGUCUGUAAAGAAGAACGAAAUCAGGUGAUUGUGUGGUCUGAUGCUGAGCCGUUUGGAGAAGAUGAUUAUUUUUCUGAUUUACAACUUUAGUCCCUCCAUUUUCAUUUCUUUGUAAUUUAACCCCAAAGUUUCAGGACUUCAUAAUUUGACCCCAAGACUUUUAAAAGGCUUUCAAUUGGAUCCCUGCUAUAAUUUGCAAAUUGGUCCUAAAACUUUAUCUUUCCCUCAAUUUUUGCCCCAAAGUUCUGAAAAUCCUGAUUAGGCCCUAAAGACUUUCUGAUAUUUGCAAUUUGGUCCUUGGCAGCUUUAAUUUCGCAACUUCAUUGCUUGUUUGCUUCAAUUAGCCACCAUACUUUGUUUAAACUGCAUUUAAUUCAUAAUUUUAAGAGUUUUAUGAUCAAUUGAGCUUGUGUUUGUAUAUUUUCUUUAGUUUUCUCAAUUAAAGUGAUGCCUUGACCUUUUCUUUGUUUUUAAAGGAUAAAUAAGUAAUUUUAUUCCAUUAGGGCCCUAAUUCAAGGAAGGUACACCCUACCCCUUAUUUCUUACUUUAUUUGACUCUAUGUGCUCUAUGUGACUUUACGUGUUUGAUUGUGUCUUUUGAAUGUUUUUUUUAUUUAGUUCAUUUAUUUAUUUGUUUGCUUUAUUGGAUUUAGUUUGGUAUAUUUAUUUUAGUUUAAAUUUUGAUCAUUUGAAAGGCAAUUUAAUGCCAAAAUUGUAAUAAUUAGGUUAUUAUUUUAUUUAUUAUUCCUUUCCCCUUAGAUUGUAGUAGGGCCUCCCCUUUUGUAAUAAAUAGGGCUUAUGUGCUAUGUGCUUGUGUGUGUUUAUAUGCCUAUGUGUUUAAUUGCUUUCCCUAGACUUCUGCAUCUAGAUAAGCAUGCUUAUGUGCUACGUGCUAUGUGAAACUGUGUGCUUUGCAUGUCUAUUUGCUUUAGUAUUAUAUCUGAUUAUAUGGAUAGAAUGUACGUUACUGUGGUUAGUCCAAUGCUAGUCAUGGUCUUCCCCUCAAGCUCACAAGUCCAAUGCUUGUGAGAGAACGUUAGUAAAGGGCUAGUCCAAUGCUAGACCCAAUAGGGCCACCCCUCGCUAGUACAUACUUGCAUGCCCUACACUACAUUUCCAUUCAUUUUUCCUUUUAGUAGUUUUACACUUUUGCAUGACCCUUCACUCCCUUUCCCGCAUUUGAAACAUGAUUUUUAGGAUUUUGCAUUUCAUUCUAGUCAUCUGCUUGAUUAGGUUAGGGAGUCACCCUUUUGGUAAAGGAAACAGACGAGUAUGGCUACACAUAGCCUUAGCACGCUUGUUUUCUUUCUAACCAAAAGGCAAAUCACAAGUCACAAUUUAGAAUCUCCCCGUACCCGAUAUGCUUGCAUUCCUUUAGACUUAUGCGUUCUAAUCCAUACUAUCAUUUUUUCACCUACUAUCACUUCACACACUCUCUCACCAUCUUACCACUUUGCACACUAUCACUUUAUCCACUUUAUCAUUUUGCACACCGUCAUUUCACUUUACAUUCUCUUAUAUUUGCACAUGUGCACUUUUAUAUACUCAUUUGCACCCUUGCACUUUACACACCCAUUUUCACAUUUGCACUUUACACAUUUGUUCCUGACACUCGUUUUUACACUUAAAGACAUUUUCGCACACUCUCAUUUUUUUUGCAUUGUUACUCGAGCAUUCAUUUACAUUUAUUUGUGACCUCUUUGAGGAUUCACCUUUGGCUAUCACAAUUCAUGUGAUUAGGACCAAUCAAGCCUCAAAAGAGACAUUUUGUUCCUUUUGAACCAAUCAUUAGAUUUAGGUUUUCAUUCAUGUUAGACACAUCCAAAAUGCAAUACAUCUUUUGGGUAGAAAUUAGGAAAAUUGUCACUAAAUCAUGCAACUAGCUUAGGUUAGAGUAAAAGGGUGCCUUAGACUUCGUCUUUGCCUUCCUUUUUAUCAACCGUGACCCCCAAACUCGUCUUUUUUAUUUUCGUAGACUAUGAGUCAUCUAAAAAGGUUUUUAUUUCAUUUUUCAAAACUACUUUUUGAGUGACUUGCUACACCCCAACUCAAUACCAAGUAGCGACUCCUAUUUAAAACCUUUUUAGACAAUCAUUUUGGCCAAACCGUCGCAUUUAAAAUUCCCAUGGCCUUUCCCUUUACCUCACACAUUUCACACACACUAUAUGCAUCAUGAUUUCAAACAAUUUACUUAACUUUUUCUCAAAAAUGGGGCGCGACAGAUUUAGUUUACAAGUUAGUCCAAAUUGAGCCAUAAGCUACUACAACAUUCCUAUGUUUACUUGUGCAGGGUAGAAUUUUCAGUCAAUUUUGCCAAUUUUCUAGAAUUUAUAAACAUUGAAUCAAACUUUGAAUUUUACAUCGUAGGAAGCGCUCUGAGUCUAAUUUCAAACGCAAUAAACUAAACUCAAUUCCGACUUUCCUAUACGAAAUUAUAGCCAAUUUUUCAAAGUUGCGUAGAGCCUCCUACGAAAAUUUCUAGAUUUUCUAAUAAUUUGAGAUUAUGAAACUUUUCUUAACAAAAUUCACUCCCUUGACUCAAAUUCAACCAUUAAAACAACCAAGAAUCAAAGAUAAGUGAGUUCACAUAAGGGUUAUAAAGAAAAGUAAAAUUUCGGAGUCUCACAAGCUGGCUCACACAAGUCCAACAAUCUCCCUCUCCAGCUCAUUUGAAGGGCUCCACCAAACUUGCUUCUUGUCUACAAAAUAUGAGUUUCUCCUUAGGCAACGCCUUGGUCAGUAUGUCAGCACCAUUAUCAUUUGUAUGAUCUUUCUCAAGUGUCAAUAACUUGGAAUCCAAUACUUUUCGAAUCUAAUGAUACCUCACAUCAAUAUGUUUGGAUCAAGAGUGAAAUAAAGAGUUCUUACAUAAAUGAAUAGUGUUUUGACUGUCACAGUAAAGACUAUGCUUUUCUUGUUUCAUACCCAACUUCUAAAGAAAUUUCUGUAAUCAAAGAGUUUCCUUGCAUGCUUCAGUGGUUGCAAUGUACUCUACUUUAGUACUAGAAAGGGCGAUACACUUCUAUAAUUUACUUUGCCAUGACACUGCUCUUCUUGCAAAAAUUAUCAAGUACUCAGAUAUGGAUUUCCUAUUGUCAAGAUCGCUUGCCAUAUCUGCAUCGGUGUACCCGUCUAAUAUAGUUUUACCAUUGCCGAAACACAGACAUAAUCUAGAAGUUCCCUUGAGAUACCUGAAAAUCCAUUUGACAGCAUUCCAAUGCUCCUUACCUGGAUUAGAGAGAUACCGACUGACUACUCCAAUUGCAUGAGUAAUAUCUGGUCUAGUGCAAACCAUAGCAUAUAUUAAACUACCAACAGCCGAAGCAUAAGGAACCUUUUUCAUGUGUUCUUUAUCUUUCUCACUUGUAAGACACUGUUUGAUAUUCAGUUUAAAGUGAGCCGCAAGUGGAGUUGAAACUUCCUUAGUCUUGCUCAUGUUAAACAUGUUCAAUAUUUUCUCAUUGUACUUUUCUUGAGACAACCAAAGCUUCCCAUUUUGUCUAUCUCGUAAGAUUUUCAUCUCUAGUAUUUGUCUAACCAGACCCAAAUUUUUCAUUGCAAAAAUUUUAUUUAACUUCUUUUUCAACCUGUCAAUUUUUAUAGUAUCACGGCCAACAAUCAACAUGUCAUCAACAUACAGCAAGAGAAUAACAAAAUCACCAUCUGAAAAAUUUUUCACAUAAAUACAGUGAUCAAAUAUCUGUGGUACUUGUGGUCUAUCAUGAAGGAGUCAAAUUUCUUGUACCACUGUCUAGGUGUCUAUUUCAACCUAUAUAAGCUCUUCUUGAGACAGCAGACAAAAUUUUUCUUGUCACUUUCUUUAAACCCCUCCGGUUGCUCCAUGUAGAUCUGCUCUUCCAAGUCACCAUGCAGGAAGGCUGUCUUCACAUCAAGUUACUCGAUCUCCAAAUUUAGACCCGCUACAAUACCCAAAACAACUCGAAUUGACGACAUCUUUACCACAGGAGAGAAAAUUUCUUCAAAACCUACACCCUUUUUUUGGCUAAAUUCCUUCACAACCAAUCGUGCUUUGUACUUUGGUUAUGAGAUGUACUCCUGAAUUUCAACCUGUAAACUCAUUUGCUCUUCAGAAUUCUCUUACCCUUAGGCAGUUUCACUAAGUUAUAAGUAUGAUUAUCAUAUAGGGACAUCAUUUCCUCUUGCAUGGCUCGCAACCAAUUUUCUUUGUUCUCAUGCUCUAAAACCUCACAGUAGGACUUUGGCUCUCCUCCAUCCGUUAACAACAUAUAUUCAUGAGGAUUAUAUCUGCUAGAAGGUCUCCUCUGUGUGAUAGAUUUCCUAAGCUCAUCUUGUGGUGGCGGUGGUGGAAUAGGUGUCGCCUCAUGUUUAGGUUCAUCAGCAAUAAGAUUAUCAUCAUCAUUAACACCCUCUCUCUGCUCCAUCUCAGCUCCCCCUUGAUUAAAAUCAAUAGGUACUGGAAUUGGAUCUGGAUCUAAAUUUGAACUAGCAGAAAUGUUAUUUGAAUAUUUCGAGUUAUCACCUUUAUCAAUAUCUUUAAUGGUUUGAUCUUCAAAGAAAACAACAUCUCUGCUCCUAAUCACCUUCUUCGCAAUAGGAUCAUACAACUUAUAAUCAAAAUCUUCAUGUCUAUAAUCCAAGAAAAUGCAUUACUUUGAUUUUACAUUAAGUUUUGACCUCUCAUCUUUGGGAAUAUGAACAAAUGCCUGGCAACUAAAAACUCUCAAGUGCUUAAAAGAUAUAUCUUUUUCCGUCCAUACUCUCUCUGGGAAGUCACCAUCUAGAGGAACUGAUGGAGAAAGAUUAAUCAAAUCGAUCGCAGUCCUCAUUGUCUCACCGCAAAAUGAUUUUGACAACUUAGCAUUAGAGAGCAUACAUCUGACCUGUUCGGUAAUAGAUCUAUUCAUCCUCUCUACUAUUCCAUUUUGUUGAGGAGUUUUUGGUAUAGCCUUUUCCAAUCUGAUCCCACGGGACUUACAAUAGAUUUCAAAUGGUUCUCUGCACUCACCACCAUUAUCAGUACGAAUACAUUUUAACUACUUGUCAGUUUCUCUUUCAACUUUGCUAUGAAAAUCUUUAAAUACAUUCAAAACAUGAUCUUUGGAUUUUAAAGCAAAACACCAGAUCUUUUUAGCAAAGUUAUCAAUAAAAGUUACAAAAUAAAUAGCACCACCAAGAGACUUAUCUUUCAUAUAGCAAAUAUCAGUAUGCACUAAUUCUAACGGAUUCAAUUUUCUAGAUGGAGAAAAAUUUUGAAAUACAACUCUGUGUUGUUUCCCAUAAAUGCAGUCAACACAGAGUUUAAGUGCAUUACCUCUAACUUCAGGUAUGAGUUAUUUGCGAACAAAUGUCUGAAUCCCUUUUUCACCCAUGUGCCCAAGUCUCCUAUGCCAAAGGUCAAUUGAUGAAUCACGAAUUGCAUUCACUUCUCCCUUUCCCAACUUAGUUUGCAUCAAGUAGAGGAUACUCUGUUUCUUUCCUCUAGCAACAACGAGAUUUCCUUUGCUGAGUUUUCAUUUGCCUCCACCUUACAAGCUAUGGUAACCCUCAUCGUCAAGUUUUCCUAUAGAAAUAAAAUUAAGGCGAAUAUCAAGGACAUGUCGAGCAUUUCUUAAUAUCAAUUGGCAUCCGGUAUUUGUAUCCAAAUAUGUGUCUUCCAUGCCAACAACUUUGCAUGAGACCUCAUUUUCCAUCCUAACAUAUCCAAAAUCUCCUUUGGUGUAGGUUGAGAAGAAAUGUCUGUGAGGAAUAACAUGAUAGGAUGCACCCAAAUCAACUACCCAAUCAUUGUCAUAAUAAAUAAUAUUUACCUGACCAUCAUCACAGAACACAAACAUAUCAUCAUGAGCUGCCACAACUAAUGUAGUCUUUUCAUCACUUUUUUCCUUCGCCUUACCCUUUUUCUCAGCUUGUUCCCGUUUUAGGAUUCUGCACUCCUUCAUAUAAUAUCCAUAUUUUUUACAACAAUAGCAUGCAAUAUUUUUCCGCGACUCAAACCUGCCUCUGAAUUUGUCAUUCCUGUUAUGGGGUUCUCUACUUUUGCUUCUCCUUCUUCUUUUUUUCUUUUCUGUCUCCAGGCCUGGGACUCAAAGACAAUUCCUUGUUCGUUCUUCCUGAACUCUUCAGUCAUCACGGCCUUUUUUGCAAUAGCCAUGGUCAACACAUCAUUCGGAACUGAAUUGCUGACGGAGACCAUCAUGGUUUCCCAACUAUUCGGUAGUGAACUAAAUAAUAAUAGAGCCUGCACUUCAUCAUCCAAAGGUAAAAGUACUCCAUUUCUUUUAGUAUUUAGUUCAUUAAAGAAAGUAAAUAAGUAGAGCAGUAAACUUUUUUGUAGAAGCACUUAGGAUGCGCAUGUAAGAGGAUACAGCUUGUCUUCCUCUGCUUAAAAACUGUUGAAACUCUUUCUCACAGGAUACAAAAUACCUAAAGGAUGGAAAGUAAUCUACUGGUUACGAUACAUUCAUACAGAUCCAAAAAAUUUUGAAGAUCCAUUGUGUUUCAAUACAGAUAGAUAGAACGUAAGCACAAAUAUUAUUUGCACUUGUAUUGAGAAGACGAAUUUUGGGUUAUACAUUGAUCAACUGUUAGAUAUUUCCUUGAUCAGGAACAACCAAAGCCUGGGACAUUCUUGGUCUUCGGUGGGGGAUCAAAGAUUUGUCUAGGAAAUAUGCUUGCUCGAAUGCAGGUUGCUAUUUUUAUCCACCACCUAGUUGUAGGAUACAGGCGAAAUUUCUAAGUGCCACUAUACCUUUUUUUUUUUUUUUGGAGUCACAUCUUUUAUUCAUGAUGAUAUAUAUAUUAGCGAAUAUAGAUGCAUACUACAUAUACAAAAUUUAGUUAAAUUGAGAUAAUAUAAUAUGCAUCUAAACCCGUCGGUAUACACACUAAGAGGGUGUUUGGUAAAAGAGUAUCGGAAUGAGGGAAUGAAAUAAACUCCAUAGUUGGUGUUUGGUUCACUGGAAUGGGAAUUGAAAUCUUGGAAUGAUUUCUAAAAACUUGGCAUCCCUCCAUUCCUUAGUAAAAAGGUGGGUGUUGUUCAAAAUCCAAGUGUGAUUCCAAAAUCUUUACCGAUUACAUAAUAUUUAGUAUAAUUAAUAUUUAUAUAUAUUAUAUAUAUUAGAUAUAUUAUAAUAUAUACAUAAUUAUAAUAUUUUAUUAUAAUAUUAGUAUAUUAUAUAAAUAUAUAUUAUAAUUAUUUAGUUAAAUAUAAUUAUAUUUAUAUAAUAUAUAUUAUAAAUUUAUUGAUAUUAUAUAAUAAUAUAUCCAUAAUACAUGUAUAUUUAUAAAUGCAUAUUAUAUGUGCAUAUAAUUAUAAUAUAAACAUGUAUAUAAUAUUAAUAAAUUAUAUAAUGAUAAUUAUAUUUAUUAUUUUAAAUAUAAUAAUAUAUAAUAAUUACUAUAUCUAAUAUUUAUAUGCAUUAUAUUUAUAUAAAAUAUUAGUACAAUUAAUAUUUAUAUAUUAUAUAUUUAUAUUAUAACAUUUGUAUAAUUAUAAUUAAUUAUAUAUAUAAUAUUUAAUUUAAUUAGUUACAAACUAAUAAUAAUGAUAGUAUUAUAUUAUAUAAUUAUAUAUUAUAAUUAUACUUAUAUAAUAUAUAUUAUAAGUUUGUUAAUAUUAUAUAAUAUUAUGUUUAUAAUAUAUAUGUAUAUUUAAAAAUGUAUAUUAUAUAUGCAUAUAAUUAUAAUAUAUACAUGUCUGUAAUAUUAAAAGGUUAUAUAAUUAUAAUUUUAAUUUUAAUUUUAAAUAUAUUAAUAUAUAAUAAUAACUAUAUUUAAUAUGUAAUAUAUAUUAUAUUUAUAUAAAAUAUUAGUAUUAUUAAUAUUUGUAUAUAUUAUAUAAUUAUAUUUAUAUUAUAACAUUUGUAUAUUUAUAUUUAAUUAUAUAUAUAAUAUUUAAUUUAAUUAGUUACAAACUUAUAAUAAUAAUAUUAUUAGCUAUAUGUAUUAUAUAAUGUACAUUAAUUUAUGUAAUAUAAUUAAUAUUAUCAAUUAUACUAAUAAUUAUACAUGUUUACUAAUAGAAUUUAUUAAUUAGUUAGACUAAAUUUACUAAUAUAUUUAUACUAAUAUAUUUAAUUAGUGAAAAUUUCUUAUAUCUUAUUUACAAAGAGCCAAUAACUAUCAUUUACGAUAUGGUUUAUAAUAUAUUUAUUAUAUUCCAUUCCGAAAGAGUCGACGAAUCAAACAUCAACUAUAGUAAUGAUACGCAUUCCAGGUACUUGAACCAAACAAAUAUAUUAGAAUGAAUGACCUCAUUCCAAACCCAAAAUAUCCGAUUCCGAAUCCGAAUCCGAUUCCGAUGUGCGAACCAAACGCCACCUAAAGUUGUAGGAAAGAUUUUUUUUUUUUCUUGAUAACACCGAUUUUUUCUUUCUUUCCAAAGGAGAAAGAGAAAAGCAUAAAUUCAAAAUCCAGAAAUUAUUAUUUAUUAAGCAAAUAAAGUCCCACAAUAGUGUAACUUUGUUUGCUUAUGCCAUACUGAUAAACAAAUUUUCAGGUGGGAACUAGUUAAUGCUGAUGCAGAAAUUAGUUAUCUCCUGCAUCCAAGACCAAUUGAUGGGGUUGAGAUUAACAUAAGCAGAAUCUAAUAGAAAAAGAAGCCCGCUGUUCUAUUUUGUGCCUCUUGAUCUUGUUUGGAGUUUGUGCCUUUUCUUCUUCUUUUUUUUUUUUUUGGGUACAUUUUCUGUUGAUCUAGCAAAAUCAUAAUGUGAUAACUACUUGCAACAAGUUUGAAACUUAUUCAUCUAAUAUAUGGUAUAUCUAUGUAAUAAGUUUGUUAAGUUGAUUGUCCAAAGUAAAUGUUUACUUAAAAAAUUAUUGGUACAAGUGUUUAGAGAACAAGAGUUUGAGGACAUGUGGGCACCAAGUUGCUUUAAGUAAUGGAUCCGAAAGUGAAACCUGAAUGCUGUUUACUUAUACAUGUAACAAAAUUUAGACGGCUAUAUUAUAUUUCUUGGUGACAUAAAGAGCAAUACUGUGACAAAAUCACAAUCUCCUCAGCAUCAUUUUUUCUAUCAAAAGAUCUUCUGUUACAAUUUUUUCUAUUACGCUUUCAUUACACUAUUAAUUCUACUAACAUGUGUUUCUUGCAAUAAUGUAUAAGAAUUCAAAUUUUAUAAUAUCUCUAUUGGUGGCCAGGACACUUGCUUCCUUUUGAGAAGUUGUGUAACAUAAUGUACCGUGAAAUUUGUAACAGAGGCUCCUAAGUCCAUAUUUUAAUCAAGUGCAAAAUUUAUCACUAUAUAUAUUUAUAGCUGCAAGUAUGUUAAGUAUUCAACCAAUUCAGUUAGAUUAAGGAAAGAGAAAAGGAAAAUAAUCUAAUUGCAGGAGUAUAUGGAAGUGACAGGGGGAGAGUCGUUGAUGACAGCGGUAGGGAUUCUAGUUGUGGUCGUGGAAUUACAUCCGGUACGCUCUUCCAGCAACUAUCUGGUGUUCCGCCCGUGGCACCAAGCUUCCUCCUGGCUAUACGGGGCUCCCAUUUAUUUGGAAAAUGCUCCAUUUUCUUUAUUACUUCAAGGUUCUUCGACGCCCGGAUGACUACAUUAAUGGUAAAAAAGAAAAGUAAGAUUAAUUUGCUCUUUCUUUCCACUUAAAAACACAUAAAACAUCAAACACAAAUGCCAUACGCAACCACAUUGAUGAGCCUAAUUAAGGUAUAUACACGUACUGAUUUUGUUUAAAUUAUGGGACUUGUACAAUUAAUUCAAUUCCAAAAUUAUGGGACGAUUUAGAUGACCCUUUUAUUUUUUAAAAAAAGAUUAAAAAAACAAUAUCAUUUCCCCAUUUGGAUGUAGAAAUUGAAUUAAGUUUUGAAGCAAUCAAAACUAGGCUUAUUAUUUUGUUGUGUUAUAUCAUCUUUGACAACAUGGGCAAGUAUCUUGCGGGGUUUGAGCCAAGUCCCCAUUUGGAUGUUCUUGAUCAGCUGUUUAAUGGUAUUCUCAAAGAAAUAAAAAAUUUUCCGCUCAAUUUUCCGGGGACUGCUUAUCGCCAUGCCCUCCAGGCCUGCCUGCAUCCUACUAUAAUUAUGGAUUUUGAUUUUGUGUCAGCUAUUUUGAUCUUAUUUUUUUUAAUCAAAAUUCAGAAACUCUAAAGACGAAAAGGAAAGCUACAAUUUAAUCCUUCAUGUUCUGCACAAUUAAAUUCUUGAAGCUCCAUGUCAAAGUUCUUCUCUUUUUUCUUUUUUGGAUAAUUCUCAUCUUCUCCAACCUCUAAACUUCGCUCUUUCCUUUCUUUUUCUUUUUUAUUUUUUUGGAUAGAAGAUCAAAAGAUCUCAUCUACCCUCCCACUCCGCCCCAUCCACUCUACCCCUUCACCACCACCUCAUUUUUUCCCAUAGACUUUGUCCAAAUGAACAAGGCGCCGUUUGAAUUAACUAUUUUUUGAGGUGUUUUUGAAAUAUUUUACCGUAGUAGUGUAUACGAAAAAUUUUUAUUAUAGAUAUUUUUUGUAAUAUUUUUGGAAUAUAUUUUAGGGUACCUUUUAAAAUAAAAAUAUUUUUAGUGUACUUUUUAAAAAUUAAAACUAUCACUUACAACUACCACCGCCACCACCCCUCUCUCUCCUCCUUCUCCUCCCCCCCCCCCUUCUUCCUUCUCUUCCUCCUCCUCCCUCUUCCUCGUUUAGAUCAACGGGGGGAGGGGAGGGCUAGGGGAUAGGGGUAAAGGGGAGGAGAGGAGGAAGAGGGAAGAGAAAGAGGUAGGAGGAAGAAGAGAGAAGGGGAGGAAAAAUGAGGAGAGAAGGGGUGGUGGCAGAAGUGGGUGGGGGUCGUGGUGGUGAUAGGUGGAAAAUAUUGUAGAAUUUAUUUUUUUAUUUUUUGUAUAUAUUUGUGAGUUGUUUUUGAUACAUUACAUAGAUGAGAUGUUUUUUGAGUUAUUUUUGUUUGUGUAUUAUUGUAUCAUUGUAUUUGAAAAACUAAUUUUUGAAAAAUAGGCCAAUUCUAACGGAACCUGGAUUUUUUCGUCAGAUUUGCACCAAAAUCUUCAUCCAAAUGAACGGAUCUCUUCAUCAAAUCUGCACUAAAAUUGACAACAUUAUAUCCCUGUGACUUGUUGCAAAGCUGCCCUUUUAUUGGUUUUUUGUGGUGUGCAUGAGGAACAUAAGGCAUAUAGAUAAAUAAAUAAGAAAAUAAAUCAUGAAAAUAAAAAGACUUACAGUAUAAAAGGAAGGAAAAAUUGAUGAGUGAAAAACUUCAUAUAAAUAAAGAAAUGGAAAAAUAAAAAAUAUAGCAUAAAGAAAAGAAAAAUAUUUUGAUACAAGAAACAAAUAAUAUGUAAAUAUAAAUCACAAAUAGUACAAAUAAUCACAUUUGAAAGAGAUGAGAGAAUUUCAGCAUGUAAAUAAAAUUCAAAAAAUUUAAGGAAUUUCAUAGUAUAAAGGGAACAAAACUUAAUAAAAAUUGAAACUUAAUAUCUAAAUAAAGACCGCUGUGGCACUUAAUUAAAAAAAAUCUAAAUAAAGAAGUAUUGAAUGGAAAAACAAAUUUUUAUGACUAAAAAAUUUAAUAUCUAAAUAAUAAUUUGAUAAGAUGCAAAUUAAUCAGAGUAUAAAUGCAACAAAAAAAUUGAUGAGAAACCAAUAAUAUUUAAAAAAUAAGAAAAAUAAAACACUUGUAGUAUAAAGGAAGGAAAAAGUUGAUGACUAAAAACAAUUAAAAAUCAAUGAAAGGAUUAAUAAAAUAAAAAUGUCAUAAUAGUGUCGCAAGGAAAAGAUGUUGAGACUAUUUGAAGGGAUGGAUUAUCCAAAAUUUUUGACAAUCAAAAUGGAAUAUUUUUCUCCAUGCAAAGCGUAUAUUAUUUGGAUUAAUGGGGGCAACGCACAAGGUCCACAUUUUGGGAGCAAUCUGUAAUUCAACCCAAGUAAUAAUGCAAUAUUGAAUUCUUUCAUCAUUUAGGCAAGAGUCAUAGUUAUAACAAGUUUACAGCCAAGCAGAUUAACAUUUACUUUUGGAAUCAUCAAGUCAUUCACUGGUUUUGGUACUUUAUAAUAUAAUCCUCCCAUGGUUUAAAAACCUACACAUAUCCUCUCAUGAUUUGAAUUAAAGUGUCACCGUUAGUUUUUCUAUUAAAACUAACCGUCAAUGAUAAAAAGUCAAAGUCAAACUAAUAAAUUGAUAAGUUCACUAUUUCACUACUUUUUUUGCUUUUUUUUUUCCUUUCUCUCUCUCUUUCUCCCUCUCUUUGGGAAAAAAAGAGAUGAUUUGAAAACCUAUAUUUUGACCUAUAAAAUCUUAAUUUUCUCUAAAUACAAAAGAGAUGGAAGGAAAAUAAAAAAUAAAUAAUUAAGAAACAAAAAAGACGGAAGGGAAAUAUAAAACAAAUAAAUAAGAAAAAAAUACCAAAUCUUUUGACUACAAAUAUCAUUAUAGGUUUUUAACCCAAAUCUUUAAUGGUAUUUACUAGUUCUUAUUUAUCAAUUUUUAUAAUUCAAUUUCUUCUUUUUAUGUUUGGAGGAAAAAAAAGAAGUAAUGAAAGGGUACAUUUAUCAAUUUAUUAGUUUCACUUUGAUUUUUUGACUAUUAAUCAUUAGUUUUAGCGAAAAAUUAACAAUGACACAUUAAUCCAAAUCAUAAUGGAGUUAUAUAAAUAUAUAUAUUUUAAACGAUAGUAGAAUUAUGUGUUAAAAUCAUAUAAGGGUAAAAGGUAAUUUACCCAACAAUAAACGAUGGUCCACCAUCUAUUUUUCAACCAUCACCGUAUUCAUGUCCAUCACAUAGCUUUCUCGUGCUUUGUCAAUUACGUUCUCUAAUUGAAAUUAUUCAUUUUUUACAUCAAUAUCACAAAUUCAUACAUUAAAUCAUCCCAAUUUGUAGAUGCACAUUAUUCUUUUUUUAUGUUUGUAAAAGUAUUUUCUCCGAUACUAAUGUACCAUAGUAGAAUCAAUUCAAGUCAUCGAUCCAUUCGACAUAUCAUUGGUCCUGACAUUCAAUUUAGAAAAAGUAAAAAAAAAAGAAAAAAAAGAAAAGGGGUACACUGUACACGGUUCGGAGUGCAGUACUAGUUCAUUUUAUUCACACCACGUCAAAAGAGAAGGAAACAUUGGACUUGGUUUAGACUUGAUUGAUAAUUUAUAAUUUUUUUUUAGAUAUUUUCCAACCAAUAUUCACCCAUUCAGUCCAUUUGCCACACAUAGACUAAGCCUAUUCUCUAAAGAAAAAUUAAAAAAAUGGGGAUAAAUCUUAUUGAAAAAUAAUAUAUACAUGUCAGUUUUUGUUUCACGCACUUUUUUAUAUCGUAAAAAGCAGUCUUUUGAGUCUUUUGAACUAUUAAAAAAAAAAAAAGAGAGAGAGAGAAGGUGUAUGAACCCAAAAGUACUGAAGUCCAAAACUCAUUUCCCAAAAGUUUUUUUUAUGCAUCAUUAGCCUAUACUCUUUGAGAAACAAACAAUUGUUUUGUUAACCACACUUAAAAAAAUGAAAAAAAAAAAAAAGAACCUUCAGAAAGACUAUACACUUUUUAUUAAAUGUUUUGGAACUCCUUUUUAAUCAAACAUUACAGGUAUUUAUUGUUUUCUGGAGGGAAGGAAAGUGCAAAACUCAUUUUCCAAAAGUUUUUUUUUUAUGCAUCAUUAGUCCACACUCUUUGAGAAACAAACAAUUGUUUUGUCAACCACACUUAAAAAAUGAAGAUAAAAAAGAACCUUCAGAAAGACUAUACACUUCUUAUUAAAUGUUUUGGGAAUCCUUUUUAAUCAAAUAUUAUAGGUAUUUAUAUUUUUUUGGAGGGAGGGAUGUAUUGAGUGGUUCGGAGAGAUAAAGUGUAAGUAAGUAGUUUCGAAUUUGAACUCUCCAACUUACACUAUUAAAAAAAAAUGAUAUUUGCAGUUUUCAAGAAAUUGGGCAUGCAAAAUAAAUUCUUUAAACAUUCUAUAUUUAUAUUCAAUUCUUAUUAAUUCUUUAUAUCCUAACAGGGGGUUUGAUCCGCCGGGAUUUGAUAAGUCAAACAAUACAGGUAACAAGGUGAAUGCACAAGUUACCUUCUUUGCUUCUUCAUAUGCUACAAUUCUGACCCUUUGUGCCCAGGAUCGGAGGGCACUAAUGAUGCGGGCUGGACCAUAAGGGCCACCCUGUGGGGAGCAUCAGGCUUAUUGAUGGCUUUUACGACAAAGUUUUUGAGCCUAGCAUGUUCUGCGCCUUGACAUCCAAUAAUGGAAUCAGUGCCUAAAAGUUCAGCAAAAGGCCAUUGUUGGCUGAAUAGAGCAGGUGAUUGCAAAACAAGUUUGUUCAGUGAUGGGAAGCAAGCAUGGACGGUGCACCCAAGAGGCGAGUUCUGAACAUUCCUGCAUCGCCAUACCUGAUAAUAAUCACAUUUUUCAAAACGAAAUUCUGUUGAUUACAGCUUCAUCGAGGCGAGUCAAAGUUAUUUCCAUUUUGAGACUGUUUCUACUUUAGCUUUGAUUUAACCAAAAAAAUAUAUAUAUAUAUACUAGCAUAGUCAAUUAAAUUCGGGUUGUUGUAACAAAAUGAGUAAAAAAUAAAAUAAAAUCUGACGGCAUCCCCCUCCCAUUCUCUGAAAGAGCAUAGUGUUAAUAAUGUUAAUAAGUGAAAAAACAUUGGCAACAAAUGUGUAAAUUUGUCUAAUGGGUGAUCACCGGACACUUUUGAAGGGGAUCAAUAAGUGUUAUGUAUUUGCUAGAAACGAGGAGAAACGGAAAUCGAGAGAAAGUUUCUCAGGUUAGCUAUCAAAUUUGAUGAAGAUAAGGAGAAACAAAAUCUUACUUUUUUUCCUUGCAAUCAAUGAAUUCAUCAGGACAUUUUAGGAACUUGAAGUACCAGAGAAACGUGCACAUUUCUCCCAAGAAUGGAAUGCCCAUGUAACCAGCUGGAAGCUCUGUGCCAUCGGCAACGCCCCGAAGCCUAACGGGAAUAGCAAACCAGAUGUCAUUCCAAAACCAUAAGAGCACUCCCACUAUUGGUAAAAUUCCAACCAUUAAAGCCAUCCGCACUUCCAUUGUCAUAUUUCCCAUUUUAUUCUCCUAUCGGCUGCAUCAUCCUUUACUUACUUUUGUUUUUAUAGUAGGAUUACAAGGUCACUACCAUACAGAGAGACGAACCAGUUGCAAUCUCCAAAAGUUGCCUUGUGAUUGCACCACAAAGUGUUGUAUCUUCUAUCAGACAAAGAAUAUUGUUAGGACUCGGGACAACCGCACGACACCAACUGCAGGGGAACUAAUAAAGGAUAAGGCAAUGAUUGAUGAUGUUUAGCCAUUAAGCUAUACGUAUAAUUUAUAUUUCUUAUACUAACAGAUCUUUUUAAGCUAAUAAGGGUUCAAGUUUAUGACAUAUAAUAUAUUAGGCACUAAAACGAGACUGUUUUCGGUCAUUUAAAGUAAUCACUCGACUUCUGAGAUUGCAUAUAUUAGUUAUUCCAUCUAGUUUUCAUGCUAAAUGAAACAAGGAUGACCUAAUUCAUUGGAAUGACCAAAAGCAUGUCACUAGCUCGUGAGAUAUACUUGUCGAAUACCUGCAUUAUAGAGGUAAAAAUUUGCGUUUCAUCUAUGAUCUUUAAUUUUUAAUAGAAUAUUACGUGAAUGGAAGGAAUUAGUACAGUUAACUUUCUAUUCAUAACUCCACCCUAUAGAGCCUUGACUUCAGUGUAAUUUUUGAUAAUUCACUCGGUCAUUGUUCUUUGCAGGUGAACCAGGUACAGGAUUUGUAAGUUCAUGGGAUUUUUAAUAUAUAUUGUUUUCUUGUAAAAUGCCUAGAAUUUGCAAGUUCUUGGGAUUUUACUGACAAAGACGUUAGAUUGGCACGUCUCCAUCCUAAAUUAGCACUUUUUAUAUUGUAAUUUUGUGGCACAUAUUCGAUAACUUCUACCAUGGAUACAAAAAUUUUGUAAAUAGUGCAAAUUUAGGACGAAGCGGCAUGUAUUUAGACUUCAUUUUCUGUAAGUUGCAGAUUAAUCGGUUUUUAGAAGCCAUUAGGAAAUAGUGUGAUUUUUAAAUUCUUCUUAUUAGCAAAUGAGUUGCUACAAAACUGCAAGAAAAAUCUUGUCUUCACAAGAAUAAUGAAUUUAAAUAUGUUCAAUGUCAUUAGAUAAGUAAUUUUUGAUCUCGUCCUCCCUCUUUACCUACCUGCAACUCCUUCAUCUACUUACUAGUCUAUGCACUUUUAUGCAUUUUUAAUUUAGCAAUAUAUAUAUAUAUAUAUAUAUAUAUAUAUAUGCAUAUCACCUCCUAUACUUGGUCUCACACUUCCAACAUUCCAUUGCAUAAGUAGGCUAAUAUGUUCUUUAGCCUCGCCUAUAGCUACCACCACAAUCACCAGCUGCUGCCAAUUUCUUAUAGAGCCCUCUAAGAAGAAUCCUUUCAAACCUAAUCAAUCAAUCAAAUAUUAUUCGAGCUGAUUAUAUAACAAAAAAUCUUGCAAAAGUAUUUAUAAAAUGAGACCCAUGCGAAAGAUUUUACACCUUUAACAGUUUUGUCCACGGCGUUGCGGCCAUUCUCCAAUCAAUCAACAUACCGGCCCUGAGGCUUUUUAACAAUUGCAGGAAGCUCCCCUUAAAUUCUAGAAAUUACACUUACCUCUCUUGUUUUCACUAUUUAAGUAAUAUAUAGGCCCAAAAGACUAGGGUUUUUCUCAAAAACCACAGAAGCCCCCUAGGUUAUAAUUCACAACAAAAAUAAAAAGGAUAAAUAUGAUUUAGUAUCUCGAUUUCAUUCAUCAUUGCUUGUUCUUACUUGUAUCUACCCAUCAACAUCUAAAGUAUCAUUAAGUAAACACUCACAUUUGUUUCAAAGUUCCUCUUUUACCUAAAAACUCCAAAGCAAAUCAUUGAAUUAACUAAAAAUGCAGUCAAAUUUUACUUAAACACCUAGCAACACUAUAUUCAUCAAUAUCUCUAAAUCCAAUUUCAUGAUUUUCACCUUUCUAAUACAAGUCAUCACCAAUAAUACCAUCACCUAAUACCAUCACCAAUAAUUGCAAAUAAAAAAUAGAAACACAUUGUAGUUAUAGGGGUAAAAUACAUUGAAGCCCCCUAUGGCUUGUCUAUUGCAUACAAAACUCCCUCAUUAUUUAAAAACAUCCACAUAACCUCCUUAUACUUUGGACUUCUUUGGAAAAUAGAUGGAAAUCAUCCAAUUUAACAGAAGUGAGUUACAAGCAACGAGUGAGUGUGGUAGCAUUGCAUGACAAAUAAUUGGGUAAUUCUACGUUUCAUUUUUUAAAAGUUUUUCCUCUCUCUUUUUUUCCGCUUCUUCUCUUCUCUUUUUUUGGCUUUCUCCCCAACCGCCUGUGCAACAAACAUUUUUCCUCUCUUUUUAUUUUUUUUCUUCUCUUCUUUUCCCCUUCUCUUCAGCUGCCUGUGCAGCAAACCAAAAAGCAAACUAGAAACUCCUUUGGUGAUAUUGCUUUUUUGUUUCGCUCUUUUCUUCUCUAUUUUUUUUCCUUUCGUCGCUACUGACGCCAUUGCCACUGCCACUUCGCCAGCCAUUGCUACCACGGUUGCCAAACACCACCAUCUGCCACUGAAACCCAAGAGACAUAAAUAGACAAGUAAAAGGGGGAAAAUGAAGCAAAAACCCUAAAUCUCCUCCAUCUCCUCCUUUGAACCUCUCAAUCAUUGCGAUGAAGUUUCAAAUUCAAUAAUGUCAGAGAGUUACAUGAAUAAUGGAGACCAAGCUCUACGAACCACUGAUAAAAUUGAAUGAAGAUGGACUGAUUUAUUAUAUCAAGAUAGACUAAGUUGGCAGUGGGAGUGCCCAAAUUUUUGGGAAUUCUCUGGGUAGCAACAUCCACCCAGAUUCCGUCAGUUGUUGUAGUAGAUUUUAGUGAUGAAGAUUGAGUAGAGGAAGAAAAGAAAAGGAAGGAGUGAGAUUUCUCUUCUAUUCAACAAUCAAGAGAGAAAUGCAAUUUUGAUACCCAAAUUUUGACACAUGAAUAGUUUUAGUUCCAAAAUUUUGGACAAAAGCAAAUCUGACACCCAUUGUUUCAACUUUUGAGCACAUUUAGUACCUUUGACGGAUUUUUUCUAAAUUGCAACUGAAAAGAGUCAUGUGAUAGUCACAUAUUCACUAACUAUUGUAUAAAAAAAAUACCAAAAAAUGUUAAAUAUUUUUUUGGCAUUUUUUAUAAAAUAGUUAUCGGACAUGUAAUUAUUACAUAACUUUUUUCAGUUGCAAUUUGGGAUUAAAUCGUCAAAGGUAUUAAAUGUGCUCAAAAGUUGAAAGAUUGGGUAUCAGAAUUAUUUUUGUCCAAAGUUUGAGAACUAAAAUCACUCAUGUAUCAAAGUUUGGAUAUCAAAACUGCAUAUUUCUCAACAAUCAAUGUUGGAGAAGACGACAUCUUUUUAUAAUUUUAAUUUAGCCCCUCAAUUUACUUUUUGUUCUCAAAUAAAUUAAGAAAGUAAGUAAAAUUUCAAUUGAACCAUAUACUAACUAUUGGUACGGAUCGAAAACAAGGUUAGUAUAGGAAUUUUAAAUCUUUCCAUUAAAUUGGAUGAUUUCCAUUCAUUUCCCAAAGAAGUCCAAAGUAUAGAGGAGUUAUGUGGGUGUUUUUAAACAAUAAAGAGGUUUCAUGUACAAUAGGCAAAUCACAAAAGGGGUUUACUAUAUUUUACCCUAGUUAUAAACAUACCAGGAACAUUCUUUCCUAUAACAAACAUAAUAGUAUAAUCUUUUAUGUAGUCCCUCUUCCAUGUCCCACCUUUAAUUUAUUAUUUUUUAUCACUACUAGUAUUAUCAAUUCUUCAUCUCCAUCUAGUGUGACAAUGAAAUUAUCACUUCAUUUAAUAAUAAUUUCAUUUUGCUAAUACUUGCAAAAAAUUGAAAACAAAAAUGAGCGCAAAAGAGCAAUUUAUUAGUAUUGAAAGAUAAAGAAUUGUGAAUAGACACCAAUAUAGAUAAAAAAAAAAAACUGAUUAUCCGGUGAGCUUUCAUUCAUAUUUUCUUCCCAUUGGUAGCUUAGAUUUGAUAGUUUUAGUUUGUCGAGAGUCUAAAUAAUAGAGAAACUUUAGUUGUAUCGGUAGUUGUCCGUCUUCCUUGUAGAUUCGACUCUAAUUACCCUAUACUUACUCACGACCUGUAUACUUGCGAAAAUUCGUGUAUGGAGUAAUUUAGGAAAUUAUAAAUAUAAAACUUGAUUGUGGAUUGAUUUUUAUUGUUAUAUACACACCCCACGCAUGUCAAUUCUUAAAAACAUAAUACAAAUGUCAUGGUAACACUGGCAAAAGGCAAUUGCAACACUUCUUGCAUUAUGUCUGUAUAAAGCACAAUAUUCAGUAGUUUGAAAUUUCAUAAAUUUCAUCAUUUUCCGCAUUUUUAGGAUUUUCAGCAUUCUAGUCAUUUCAGUUGCCUAAGACAUCCUAUUAAGCGUAAAACAUCUCUGCCUUGAAGUGAUCUAUACAGGUUGAAAGGACGAUGGGACUGUUUUUGAAUGCAAAGGAACUCCUGAAGAACCUUUUGAGUAUAUAUGUUUAGAAGGUGAUAUUAAUUCCAGUGCCAGUCAUUUAAUUGUUUUUCCCUAAUCUCCUGCUGUCAAAGUUAUCCUGAAAGUUAUGUUUUGUAUCCAAUCAAAUUCUUAGACCUCCUUUUUUCACUCCGCAGAUCAGUUAAAUGAAGGUUUGGACAGGUACAUACAUGAAAUAGAUUUAAAUCCUUUACCAUGUAACCUGGUAUCCAAGUGCAAAUCCAUUCAGACCAAAAUGUUAUAGAUUUAAAUCCAACCAAAAUGUUAUAGACCAAAACUGUAGCAGUUCGUUCGACAAUGUGUCAUCUUUUACAUAGUAUCUAGGACAAGGCGAAAUGUAGGUAAUGCAUCACUUUAGAUGUUUGGUUGUUGACGCAGGUUAAACAGAGCCAGUUACUAUAUCAGGGAAAUUAAAUAGCAAUCUCAAAAAGUAGUAUCCGCUAGCAUUGACAGCUAGAUAAAAAGAAACUGGAUUAAAUUCUAUUCAAGAAAGUCAUCCUCAAAUAUAUAGGUCCUUGCCUGGAAUCAGGAAUUUAAGUUAGCAAUGUAAAAUAGAAAAUUGAGAUCAAAGACAGGUGCAAAUUUCAUCAUGCAGGAUAUUACCUAUUUAAAGAGAUCCAAUUGAUUAGUCUGUUUGAGAUCAUCUUUUUGCCACCUGAUCAGAGGAAUCAAUCAGAUUCAGGCUAGGCAGAUAAGUUCAGUAUAAUUUGAUCAAAGGGUAUAGAGGCUAUGGCCGUUUGGUUUGAAGCUGGCGUGCAGAUCAAUAACCCAACCCCUACCACCUAUAAGUUGUUUAAAGACCAAAUAGGCGCCACAAUAACCAGUUUAAAAUUUCAAGUUGUUUGCCAAAUUACUAUUUCGUGUAUGUACCUGAAGAGAGAACAAUUCAAUCAUUGCAACUAAAUGAUUCUACAAGUAUGUAGCUUCACAAUCAAGAUGCACUUGCUUGCUUUCAUCUCCUACAAAUUUGGCGCCAAGAUAUAUAGAUCAUUCUUUGUCGAAAAAUAGUGACGAGGAUGUGAAAUAAAAAAAUAGACUAAGAUAUGCCAGUAAACUUGGAAAACUGAUAAUUAUCUGAUCUCAUCGCUCCUUUUUAAGAGUGAGAGUUCUACUUUCUAGUUUCUAGAGAAACCAUUUUCAAAGAUGGACACAACAGAAAAGUUGGAAGCUUGUCAAAGAAAGAAGAGUAAUGGGAAUGCACCAUUCAAAGCUGGGAGAUUCGAGCUUGCAUCGAAGAAGUAUGGAAAGGAAUGUAAUUUUCAUGAGGAUAAUAGCAGGCGCUUAGAUUUCUCUAAUAGAUAUAUGCUUCAUCAAUGAAAUUAGAAAUCAAUCGUUAAUAACUUUGAGGAGAAUAUUCCUCGAAAGUAAAUUUCUUUCCCACUUCACAUAAUGCAGGCUUCAAAAUACAUUGAGUUCGAUCACUCUUUCAAUGAUGAUGAAAAGUCCUUAGAAAGUUCUUUACUGUCGUCGUGCAGUUUAAACAAUGCUGCUUGCAACUAAAACUUGAAAAAUAUUUCAAGGCUUCAAGGCUUUUCACCAAGGUUAGUUUUCUUGAACUUUCUACAUACCAGUUUUAUUUUGUCCCAUCCAUUUGUCUUCUGUAUUUAUCUAUGGCUAUCUGUCAUAUCUACUUGCAGCUAGGAUCAGGGGUGCUUAUAACCUGGGACAACUUCUUGAAUGUAGACUGAUUGAAAAAUGUGUUCCAUGGACAAAGAUGACUUAAUGUAGCAUUUUAUGAUGGAUUAAUUCUAUAAUGGAUAAAGUGCAAACAUCAAUUGAUUACUUUGGUGCCUACAACAUGUUUAGAAUGACUAAGUUUGCAAGGAAAGCUAUAAUCUGCUAUAAUAUGCGUUUCUGAAAGCGCUGAUACAGCCCAUUUCAAACAUACAUGCUGACCUUCAACUGAAGUGAUAUGUUCCAAUUCUUAUAGCACGUCUGUGGAAAACUAGAACAAGAUCAAAUCCAUGGAGAUAUGAUGACACGUCUCGUUUCUUUUUCUUCUAAAUGAGUUCAUUGAUGCAUUUGUUUCUAGCUUUCCCCAUGUGGUUGGCUAGCAUAUAUAACCUUUGAGCAAGGAUAUGAAGUGCUAUUCCUUUGAAGGUUGUACACUGAUAAAGACCCCGGAAGACCAUCGCUUAUGCCCCAAUAAUUCACAUUUCAUAAUCUGAUUCUUUGAUUCUAUCAUUUUUCUUGAGAAAACAAAACGCAAAUUGGUAGUGUUGUAUGCCAGUUUGGAUUUAGCAUUUCACAGUCCCCGACACUAAGCUGCCUAGUAAAUCCCCCUCUCGUAAUUCCAAUAACCCUAAGUCAUGGCAACAGUUUCUAGAAGUAGAUCCAUGCAGUGUGGAAGCUCUCUUUAGAAGGUCACAAGCAUACCUAAGAACAUCUGAUCUGGAAAAAGCUGAGGGUGAUAUCAUGCGAGCACUUGCAAUAGAUCCAAACAACAGGUUUUCACCUUGAUUGUCCAUCAACAGCAUAGCUGAUAUUCAGUCUUGUUGAAUCUUUUCUUUGCUUAAUUUGUCUCAUUUUACUCCCAAAUCUGAUUUUGAAUUAACAGAGAAGUGAGGCUCGAUUACCAGGAGCUGAAAGGCAAGAAAAGGCAAUAUAUUCGGCAUGAAGGCUGAAGCUGAAAUUUUUACCAAUAUGCUGUCAAGGAAGGGAUAGUAUCGGCAUACUAAAUAUCGCAACUGAUAUUUGAAGUGAUUUUUUGCCACAAUAAUGUGCUUCACACCACAUAUUGUGGGAAUGAGUAUUAAGAUUUUAUUGAGGUUAGUUGUGACUACUCUCUCAUAUUUCAGACACAAAAGCUAAGAGGUUUCUCUUACUGACACUAGUCUUUGGUAUCUCGAAGACGGCGGUUUCCUGUUAAUUAGCUGGUUGUUGUAGCUUCAUCUCCAGAGCCUUGAGUAAGUAAAAUUUACGAACUAAUGUGACAAAAUGAAUGAUUAGUUAAUCAAUAUUUUUGAACCCUAUUAAACAUAAAGCCAUCUUCAAUGAAUCAAUUACUCGUGAACCUGACGCAUCAAUGUGUGAAAUUUGAAACAUUUAAUAAUCUAAUUUGCAAUCACCCAUAUUUAGAAUAAGACAUAUAUAUAUAUAUAUAUAUAUAUAUAUAUAUAUAUCUUUCAUGGUGAAAACAUUGUUAUGGAGGUAGACAUUGUACAAUAUCUCCAUAAAGCCAUCUUCAAUAAAUCAAUCACUCGUGAACCUGACGACGCAUCAAUGUGUGAAAUUUGAAACAUUUAAUAAUCUAAUUUGCAAUCACCCAUAUUUAGAAUAAGACAUAUAUAUAUAUAUAUAUAUAUAUAUAUAUAUAUAUAUAUCUUUCAUGGUGAAAACAUUGUUAUGGAGGUAGACAUUGUACAAUAUCUCCAUAAAGCCAUCUUCAAUAAAUCAAUCACUCGUGAACCUGACGACGCAUCAAUGUGUGAAAUUUGAAACAUUUAAUAAUCUAAUUUGCAAUCACCCAUAUUUAGAAUAAGACAUAUAUAUAUAUAUAUAUAUAUAUAUAUAUAUAUAUCUUUCAUGGUGAAAACAUUGUUAUGGAGGUAGACAUUGUACAAUAUCUCCAUAAAGCCAUCUUCAAUAAAUCAAUCACUCGUGAACCUGACGACGCAUCAAUGUGUGAAAUUUGAAACAUUUAAUAAUCUAAUUUGCAAUCACCCAUAUUUAGAAUAAGACAUAUAUAUAUAUAUAUAUAUAUAUAUAUAUAUAUAUAUCUUUCAUGGUGAAAACAUUGUUAUGGAGGUAGACAUUGUACAAUAUCUCCAUAAAGCCAUCUUCAAUAAAUCAAUCACUCGUGAACCUGACGACGCAUCAAUGUGUGAAAUUUGAAACAUUUAAUAAUCUAAUUUGCAAUCACCCAUAUUUAGAAUAAGACAUAUAUAUAUAUAUAUAUAUAUAUAUAUAUAUAUAUAUAUAUAUAUAUAUAUAUAUAUCUUUCAUGGUGAUAACAUUGUUAUGGAGGUAGACAUUGUACAAUAUCUCCAUAGAAUAACAGGAAAAACUAGAGACAAACAUCUAAAGCAAAAUCAUUAUUAUAGAUCUCUCGAAAAAUGCUAUUGUAAGUUGUUAGGUAAAAACUUAAGGGCUCCUAUUUUUAUGAUGGACUGAAAUAGGGUUCUCAAAGUAAACUAUUGAUGUUAGACAGGAUGCGGGAAUUGAAUCAAAAAAAAAAAGAAAAAAGAAAAAAAGACAGAUUGCAGGAAUUUAAACCACACUAUUGAAGUUAGAUAAACUGCAGGAAUUUAAAAUACGCGAUUGAUAUUAGAUGGACCGCAGGUUGCAAAAGAUUGGCGAUAUUGCCGGAGCUAAAAUUUUCUUGCCAAAGCAAGUUUUUUUAAAAACUCAAAAAUACCCCUUCGCUUGUAAAUGCUUAAAGAUAACUUCAUAAAGCUUCCCUAAGGUUUCUAACAAUUUUACUAAUUUCCCCUAAGAUUUGCAAAAUUACAUAAACCUCCUCUAAGAUUAAGGUUUUGGUAAUAAAAUUAGUCCAAAUAAGAAAAAAUAAUAUUAAGAAAGUAUUUUAAAGAGAGAGAUGAAACUCUUAUUCCAUAAAUAUCCCUUAUGCAUAUAUAUAAGUUAUAUUAGUGAAAGAAUGAAAUUAAUUAAAAGUUAGAAAAAAUUAACACACAUAUUUCACUAUUCAAAAAGUUCACAUUCAAUACAUUAAAUGAUAAAAAAUAAGCAACAAAACUACACUCAGGGAAAAUUUCAGAAACCUCCCUUGAGGUUUCUAACAAUUUCACUUGGCUUCCCUCAGGUAAAAAAUUACACUUACCUCCCUUGGCAUAGUAAAAUACCUAUAAUGUCCUCCACUUGGUAGACAAUUUUAAAUUUAAGACAAUAAAUUUACAAAAUCCAAAAAAAUUCUAUUUUUGUCUCUUGUCUAUUUUUGCUUCUCUCUUUUCUAAUUAAUAUAACCUCUUUUACUAUCUUCAAUUUUGUGAAUAUUAGCAAAUUGAAAUUUACAAAAGCAACAGAGAGCAGAUUAUGUGUCAAAUUAGAAGGAAAUGAAGAGACUCGCAGUGAUAGAAAAUAAAUAAUGAAAUUGAUGAUUGAAAUAGAAAGAACUAAAGAUGUGAAAAUUGUCAUAUUUUGUUUAUUGUCAAAAUUUUUUUUUAUAAAAUGUCAAUAAUUACAUAUGAAUUUCUUUCAUUGGAUUAGAUUUUUUAUUAUGAAGGUAGAAUUUAUUCUCUACUAUUGAGAUAUUAAUAUUUUUAAAGCCAUGGGAGAGUUGUAAUGAUGGUUUUAGAUGAGAUUAGCUUGUAUUAAAAGGUAUUUGAGUAUUGAUAUUUAAUUUUUGGUACAACUGAUUGUCAAUUGGUUUUGUGUGCAUGUUUUUCUUCUUUUUUUCUUUUAGUGGCAAGUAUUGAUAUCUUUUAUGUAAUUUAGGAUUUUUUGAAAGCCUACUUGAUUUUAGAACUUAUGCUUGGGUGGUUGUUAGGGACUAAACUUAUUAAUUUAUGUAAAGUGUGGAAGAAAAUAAUUAAAUAUACUAUAUUUUUCUUUUUUUAAUUUUGUACAAAAGGGCAAUUUAGGAUUUUUGUGAGAAAAUCUAUUUUGUUGGACCUACAUUGUUACUAAACAUUAAAAGAAGGGGGAUGUAUAUGCAAUUUUUAAAACCUGAGGGGAGCUCUUUAUAAUUGUUAAAAAUCUCAUGAGAGGUUUGUGAAAUUAUCUCCUCCACUAAUAAUCACAAGAUUCAGCAAAACAGACCAGUCAUCUCUCUUAAGAUGAGGUUUGCUAUGAUUUUUGUGAUUUUCAAUAGGAAAAAAUUUCAAAAUUUACCUUUCUUUUAUCUUCUUUCUCCUUUACUUUCACGAAAUUACUUUACAACUAUCACACUUUUAAGAGUUUCACAUAAAAUUUUCUCAUGAACAACCUUCAUUUACCUGGUGUUUUUUCUUCUACCAAAACCAUUCUUCUCACAUUAUGUACAACUGAUUUUUGAUUCUUGUCAAACUCUAUCAAUUACAAAAUAACACCAUUUGGUAUAUCAAUUUGUUCUUCAUUAAAGAAACUUUUAAUAGUUAUUUCCGUUAAUUAGUUACUAAUAAUUAAUUAAUGCUCCAAUUACUCAAUCAUUAGAGGAUAUGUGAGUAAUUUCUCCCCCGUGACAUAAGUAACUAGGUCCACAAUUUUGUCAAGAAAAGUAAGUAUAAUUUUACAAAUUUCUGGAGAGAUGAGCGAAAUUGUCAGAAACUUCAUGGGUGGUAGUCGCGCCAAAAUUUUGGGCCCCGGCCACGACGCCCCAGCCCCACCUUAGCUACCAUCUCAUGUGUCGUUGCAUGCUCCAUCAGUAGUACAUCGGAUCCCAAAUUCCUGCCUCCAUCCAUUUCCUUUCUUGUCUGGAUAUCCCAUAGCUAAUGUUUUCGUAUUACUCUCUCUUCGUCUACUAUUUCUCAUUCUUGCAACCCAAAGGACAUUUUUUUUUGGGGUUCUUUUUGAGAAGUAAAUGCUCCGGAAAAUAAAUGAAAUCUCUUUCACUGUCGGGAAAAAAAAUGUAACUUAAAGAAAUUCGAUUAUCCUGCGACACACGAACUAAACUAGGGAUUUUUGGUCAUGAAUGGAUUGGAUAUAAUUUUUUUAUUCAUCAUCGAUUCAUAACAACAGGUGCUAACCAAAUCAAUCCUAGUGAUUUUGUUGCUCGCGAUCUGGUGUUGGAUUGAAGUUAUUUGCAUCGGAGAGAUUGGAUUGGUCAACUCUCUAUUCUCUGUGGAGCUUAAAUUUUGGGAUUGGCAAAAGCACCAGAAUAUCACCUUAAAAAAAAAAGCUCCAGAAAAUCUGAAUUUUGUUUUUUUCCCCACAAUUUUGGGUACAAAUCAACUUUUGAGAGUGUCAUAUAAGUUGGAUACUCAAAAGUGGAGACCAAUGGAGGGCACUUUCGGAUUUUUAAAUAAAUUUGCUUGGGUUGGAAAAUUUUAGCUCUGCAAUAUCACAAACCUAUAAUCUGUUGCAUAGUUAUUUUUCCAACACAUCGAUUAUAGUAUUCCAAGGCCAUCCUUGUCAAAUUUCCAUCGAAAACUUAAGGGUAAAAAACAAAAAAAUGCCCUGUGAUAAAUCUAAUAUACAAAAAAACUCCUCGUAGUUUCAAAAUAUACAAUACAGCACUCCAUACUUUGAAUUAAAUUGUAAAGGUAAUAGAAUCCGUUAAACUUAACGGAAAUGGACGAAAUGACCAAAAUACCUUGAUAUAAUUAAGCAAAAGACAGCUCAAAAAAAUCAUUUGUUUUAUUCUCUAGAUAGAUAGAAUUGAGGGUUAAGGGAUAGAAUAGGUAUAUUUGUUAAAAAUUAGGUAUAAUAACUUUUUUUAGGUUCCAAUAAGUCAUUUCCGUUAAGUUUAACGGGUUCUAUCACUUUUACAAUUUAAUUUAAAGUACGGGGUGUCGUGUUGUAUAUUUGAAACCACGGAAGGUUUUUUCUGUGUAUUAGGUUCACCACAUGGGGUUUUUUUGCAUUUUAUCUAAAACUUAAUCAACUACACAAUUUAUCAAAUUUUAAUGAAAAGUAUUAAUCGCACUCCACUUUUUAUUAGUCACACUCUCAUCAUUCAUUUUAUCAUAUAGUAUAAUAAAUAAAAACUAUAUGAUAAAUACGAUAGUGAGAGUGUAAUUAACAAAGGGAGUGCAAUCAAUAUUUUUCCAUUUUAAUUUAUCAUAAUAAAAAAAAAAUUUUGGAGUGUAACACGAGGAUUUCUCGGGGUGUCAUUCAUUAUAGUACUACAUUGCUACCACCCAAGCAAAAAAAAGUUCAAAUUUACACAACAUUUCCAAAAUUAUCUCAAAAAGACUAUACUUAACAUUUAGAUCUAUAGUCUAUAAAAGACAUAGAACUAGGGUUGCAAUCGACUCAAUUAGCUCGCGAGCAGUUCGACUUGAGUUCAGUCAAUACCGAGCUCGAUCCGAGUAUUAAUAUAUAUGAGUCGACUUCGAGUAGCCAUUUGUUAGGUUCGAUUACUCGACGAGCAGCUUGAAAAAUUCGAGUUAAUGUGAAAUUACAAAAAUACCCCUUCAUCAAUUAAAAUCGAACUACCUUCUAGCUUCUCACGAACUAGAAUAUCGAGUGAAACUCGAGCUGACAUAUCUAGUUGCUCAAGAGCCAGAAACAAAUUGAGCUUGAACUUUCUUUUUUCUAAGUCGAGUCGAGUUCGAACUUCAUUUUUUUGACUCGACGAGCUCGAGUGUGAACUCAAACUCACACAUUAACAAGUCUAACUCAACUCAAUAUGUUUAAAACUCGAUUUGAUUUAACUCGUUUGCAACUCUAGUUACAUAGAUUGACUUCAAUUUUCAACUGGUUUUUCAAAUUUCAAGUUAGUCCAAGUUAACUUGGUGCAAAUCUAAGAGUUAGAAAGUGAUCAUCCCAAGAAAAUCCAAUAAUCAGGUUUCACUUCAUCAGGGCCUAAUCUCCCUUUUGACGUCUUGUCUUCAAUAAUGGAACACCGCAAUGUCAUCCACUAAACUAACCUAGCACAAUUAAACGCACUUAUCAAGUUAAGUUUUAAGACAAGAUUUGGACCAAUAGUCAAAUACAAAACAGGCACUAGUGUAAAACUCUAAAAUUAUCCCCCACUUCGUUAAUUGUAUACAGCUUUCACGAAAAUAUAUUUACCCCUUCGCCAAGAAAAACGACAUCAAACCCAUUUCUUAUUAUAGAAAAGAUCUGUUAUGAUUACCCCUUGUUAUGAUUACCCUUGUCAUGUUUACCCCUUGUUAUGAUUACCUUUUUCUCAUGAGUAUUUAUUUAAGAAAAACUCGCUCAAAAUGUUUCUCACAUUUUGUCAAAUAAAAUUUUUCAUUCUUUACUUUUAAAAUAAUAGUUUUACAUCUUUUACAAAUUUAAGUCAACAAAAUUUGGCUCCAACCUAGAUUUUUCUGAACAUUUUUUCAUUUGAAAUCAUCACAUGACUCACAUGUGAUCAUUUUAAAGUACAAAAGGCCGGAUUCCACUUAUUUAAGGGCUGAAAUAAAUAUGGAACAAGUCAGAUCUUACUUGUUUAGGAGAAAAAUGAAUAUAGUUUAGAUCAUAUCCCACAUUUUUAAAGAUAAAAUGAAUAUGGAUCAAAACAUUUGUUUUUACAGUAAAUGGUAUCUAUUUUUUUGCUCCUAAAAAAAUGAUUAUGUGUGAGUUACGUAACAGAUUCAGGUAAAAAGUAGUCGAAAACUUAGGUUGAGACUAUAUUUUGCUGAAUUAAAUUUGUAAGGGAUGUAAAAUUAAUAUUUUAAAGUUAAAUGAUGAAAAAAUUUAUUUGGUAAAAUGUAAGGAAUGUUUUGCAUGAUUUUCUUUUCAUUUUCUUUUUAUUUAAUUGCUUUUUGAUUAUUUUAGAUUUUCUACCUCUUAUUUCACUAUAUAUAUAUAUAUAUAUAUUGUAGAAAGGAUUUUAGGAUGGUUAAAUCAUAAUGCUUCUAACUCCUCAUUCUUUGUUUUAUAUACAAUUUUGGAUUUUUUAAUUAUUAUAUAUCCUUUUCAAGCCAUUUGAAUUUAAAAAGUAAAAAGUGGCUCCAUUCCACUUAUAUAGGAAUUUGAUUCGAAAUCUAUUAAUGUGAGGAUAAAUAAAGAGAAAACAUCACCAAACCGACUAAAAGUGAAAAGUAAAUAAUAAUAUUUUACCCUUUAACUUAGUAAUCUUAACUAAAAGGGCAAAUUAUAUAGAAAACAAAAAAAAUAAUAUUCAUUGGUCAUGGAUUUAAAAAAUCAAGAAUGGUACCAUUCAUGAACCCUAAAUUAUGAAAUCACUAAAUAAAAAACAAAGUACUACUAGCCAUUCAACAUGAAAAUUUUUAUUUGAAAUCUUUAUUUUUGAUGAAAAAUAAUAAUAAAAACAACAUCGAUUAUACCAAAAAAAUUAAAAACAUAACAAUGUAGUUUAAAGAUAUAAAACUUUUGACUCUAAACUAUAUAUCUAUUUAAUUUAUGUAUAUAUAUAUAAUCCAAUUCGACCCUAAUUAAACUUGAAUAAGAGUGCAAAACCAAAAGCUAAGAAUAGCUUGGGUAUUAUUGAUUAUUUUGCAUAUUCUUAUUAUUUUCUUCAUAUGCAAAUCUGUAAUUGCUAUGUCAUUUUUAUAUUUUUUGUAGUAGUUUAUAAUAAUUCUGAAAACUCUAAAAACACAUCUUACAAAGAUUUUUUUUUUAUAAAUCUAUAUUAAAGUUUAUGAAGAACAGUACUCUAUAAGCACUCAACAAUUUUAGGGUUACAAGAUGGGAGAAACAAAUUUUCUAAAAUUGAGGAAAAUGAAAUAGUUAUAAUUUAUAUUUUUAAUACUAAUAAUUUUGAUAUAUGGGUAUAACAUGAUAUAUUGAUAAAUAGGUCUACAAUUGUUCUACUAUAUAAAUCAUUAUAAAUUAAAUUAUUUUAUUCAAAUUAUUGUAAUGUAUUGACAAACAAUAGGUAAAGAAAUUUUGAUUUCAACUUAUUUAAGAUAUUAAAACUAAGAAAGUUUAUUUUGUGCUUAUGAAAUAAAAUUUUUUUAACAUGUUAGGCAUAUACUUCUUUAAAUUUUUUUUGCCUUUUUCAUAUACUUUAUCCUAUAUUAUAAUAUAUAAGUAUAUAUAUUAUUGUUUUGAAUUAAAAUAUAAAUACCCUAUACUAUCAUACUCCCUCCGUCCCACUUUGAUAGUCCUGUUUUCCUUUUUCGUCUGUCCCAAAUUAUAGUCCACUUUCCAAUUGAAGAAUGUAGUUGUAUUUUAAUUUUCCUAAAAUACCCUUAUUUAAUGUAAGUUGUUGUUACUAUAAACCUACCCCAUUUAAUGAGAAUUGAUUCUUUUUUUACCAUCAAUUCAAGUUCCCAUAAAAUUGUACUCUAUUUAAUGUGAGGGUAUUUUAGGAAAAUAGCAAUCUAAAUUUACUUUUCCAACAAAAUUAACUACUUUUUCUUAAACUAUGUGAAAAAAGAAAUAGGACUAUCAAAGUGGGACGGAGGGAGUAUAUAAUUAUAUAUAAAAUAUUAUUUUGAAUUGAAUUGGGUUAGAAUGAUAGUUAUAUCUCUAUUUGCCGACAAUCUAUUCUUGGAUAAUUCAAUCAUUAUAUUCGGAAAACUCGUCGUGUAAGAUUUUGUACUCAAUCCCUACCGCGAAGCCAAACCCAAAAGCGACUGCUAAAGAUGGUGCUGUUUAUUUUCUUCUCCCACAACUGGCGAGCACGAGAGCAACCGGUGUAGACUUUAUUGGUUCACGUGGCUCAGUCACGGGCUCAACAGGAACUAAACGUUAAAUUUUUUUAAUUUCCUCUAGCCUUUAUCGUCCUCGAAAAGUUUGAAUUUCGAGGCACUAAGGCGUGGACAACCCCACCAGUUUUGGAACAUACUGAAGCGAGGGCAUGCAGCCCACAAUCAUUUGGGGUAUAGUAAGUCAAUGAUUCGUGACAUAUUCUUCUGUGGCACUUUCGACCAGUGGUGAAUUAUCCAUCGAGUUUUAUUGGAAUUGUAUUUUUCUGUUUUUUUAUUUAUAUUAAUUAUUAUUAUCUACAUUUGCUCUACUUCUACUUCUAUUUUAACCUAUUUUGAAUAGUGACCCAAUAGGGCCAUGAGAAAUCAAUGUGAAUUGAACCACUAUCGGAUCAUACUUAUAUGGAUUUAAAAGAAAUCACAUUAAGUAGUAAAGUAAGUUUUGAACCCUUGACCUCCCAACCACAAGACAUACAGUAGCUAACUAUUAUGGAGGUGGCUAUUAUGGAGGUGGUUGAUUUAGAAUUGUAUUUUUCUUAGUUGUUUGCUUUUUCAUGUUGACGGUGCUCGGGUAUGCAAUUGUCAUGUGAAUUCCACCGUGCAAAUUAUAUGCAUUAAUAGUAUAAAUUUAGGUGCUAAUAAAUGUAAAAACCAAAACAGAUUAAGUAUAUUAUUACUUAUUAAAAAUUGUGUUUCGCAAUUAGUUUUAUCCAUCCAAUUUUGAAUUAAUUCCAUCUAAAUCAUUAACUGUACAGUGUAGUUGUUCCUAUUUUACUUAAGUCAGGCGUAUUUAUAUUUUUUAAAUUAAAAUAUCUCACUUUAAAAUUCAGCAAUGAACGUGAAAAUUCGAGUAUCGUUAAAAAAAAUGUAAAGUGAAAUUUACCCUGUUUGUAUUAUUCUUAGUUAGAUUGGUAGGUUAUCUAAGACCUAACAUUCUAUUUUGCCAAACCGUAAGGUGCAAUAAGUCAAAAGUUGUAUAUGAAUGAUACUCAGGGGCGGAUUUAAGGUGGGGGCACUGGGGGCAUGGGCCCCCACUGCCUCCCCUCAAAUUUGUAUAAUAGUUAUACAAUUUUGAUAUAAUUGUAAAGGUGUCAUUAAAGUUUUUUUUAGAACAAAUGUGAAAAAUAGGUCACAAAAUUUAUAUCAUUCAUUUUUCUCCCUUGGUCUCCCAUUUUUUCUCCAACAGAAUCAAAUACCAAUUAUAUCAGUCUUUUCUUUUGGUCCCCACUCCCCAAUUCCCUUUCCUCCUCCGGUCCGCAUUUUCCCUUCACAACCGACGGCUCUUCUUUCUUCCUCCAUUUGUACUUGUUGGUGAAUUUAUUAUUUUUUUACUUAAAAAAUUAGAAAAAGAGUAGAUAAAAAAUUUUGGUGUUAUUUUUACCCCCACUAAAAUUUUUUUCUGGCUCCGCCCCUGAUGAUACUCUAUCAACCAUUCUAAAUGCUAAGGAUCUAAGUUACGAGCCAAAAGGCGAAGGAUGUAAGGUCAUGAUUAAAAACUAGCGACACUAUACAAAUUAUAUUUGACUACAUUUUUUUUAUUAGUAUCGUAUCUCGCUUUUGCUCGCCUUUGUUUAACACUUGUACUCCAUGAAGCCAUUAAAUUUGUUGAGAUAUGCCAACUUUAGCAUAUGUUUUUAGAUUCAUUUAGUACUAGAAUAAUUUAGUUAGCUAUUGAAUAAAUUUAGUUGUUAGGAUAUGUAACAAAUAUUUUUGCUAAGAUUUAAAUUAUGUUUUGUUGAGAUUUUUUAGGAUAAUUGUUAGUUGAAAAUUAUGUUAGUUUAUUUCAUUUAAAUACUAUAAAUAGUGAGUUGAUGAAUGAAAAAUAUAAGGUUAUUUUCAGUUUUCAAUACAAGUCUUUUGUAUGCCUUUUUUUUUACAAUAUUAAUUAAGGUAUUGUUUCUUAGUUUAUGUCCUAAAAAUCAACAAAGUAGGUUCAAGAGUAUAUUUUAAGGGUCUGUAUUGUUUUUUGAGAGUGAAUGCAUUCACUGAGAAUCCUUUAUCAGUUCAAAACCAUGAUAGAAAAGAACUUUUUAUCAAAUAUUUCAACUUUUGGUGGUAAAGCUUAUCAAAUUUGGGUAGUUAAAUUUUGGAUUUAUUGGGUAGUUAAUGAUCUAUGGGAUGUGGUGGAAAUAGAUCAUGUUCUAGAACUAUUUAAAGAACCAAUUGAUACACAAAUUAGAAACCAUAGAGUUAUAGUUAGACAAAAAUCCAAGUAUAGUAUUCACAUAUCAUUUUUUGAUGCCGUUUUCACAAAGAAAAUGACUUUUGAUUUGAUUAAGAAUAAACUAUUCUCAAUUAAAAUGAAAGGAAAAAGUUUCCCUAUGAAUUGGUCGGAUCUUGACAUUUCUAAAGUGGAGCAUGAUGAAAUCAAGAAUUCAUAUCUUGAAAGAAUUCAAGAGGAGAUCAUUGAUAAGUUAAGAGGUAUUAAAUUGAUUGCUGAUAUUUUUCAAGAGUAUAAUGUCUCUGUUUUUGGGUCUACAGGUUUUGACGAUGAUGAAAAAAAUUUAUGAAGAACUAUGAAGAGUUUCAUAUUUUCUGUACUGGUCCAAAUAUCGUUGAAAGGUGUUCUACUUGAACCUAUGAAAAAGGUUAUCUAGAUAUAUAUAUAUAUAUAUAUAUAUAUAUAUAUAUAUAUAUAUAUAUAAGCCAUCUUGUAUUUGGAGUUUGGCAUAAGACGCAAAAAGAAGUGGUUUGUUACAAGAUUAAUCUUUAGCUUGUAAAAAAAAAUCAAAAGAAGUUUGUUGUAUAUAUAUAAAAGCCAUCUUGUAUUUGGAGUUUGGCAUAAGACGCAAAAAGAAGUGGUUUGUUACAAGAUUAAUCUUUAGCUUGUAAAAAAAAAUCAAAAGAAGUUUGUUGCAAGGAUAAUCAUGAGUUGCAAAACUUCUUGUAAAAGGACUUGUCUAUAAUGGGGCUUAAACAUUUAAGAAGAGAAUUAGGGAUGUGCAGCAAAAUUGGCAAGGAUAAAUGUUGAAAUAUGCCAACUUUUGCAAGUUUUUCUAAAUUCAUUUAGUACUAGAAUAAUUUAAUUAGUUAUUAAAUAAAUUUAGUUGUUAGGAUAUUUUUUUAAACAAAUAUUUAUGCUAAGAUUUAGAUUAUAUUUUGUUGAGACUCUUUAGGAUAAUUGUUAGCUAGAAAUUAUAUUACACCUUGUUUGGAUUGUGAUUUUUUGCAAAAAAAAAUUUUAUGUUUUCCGUAAAUACACUUUUUAAUUACCUUUUUACCUCACAUACAUCAAAUCGUUACAAUUCAUUUUUUCUACAAAAACUCCUAAAAACAUUACAAAUAGUGUGUUGAUAAAUGAAGAACAUAAGGUUAUUUUCAACCUUCAAUACAAGUUUUUUGUAAGCUUUUUUUUUGCAACAUUAAUUAAGAUUUUUUUAUUAGUUUAUACCCUAAAAACCAACAAAAUUAAUAUAAAAGGACGAGUGCCGCUCUAAAACAUGGAUAAUAUGAGUGUGAUGCUAAUAAGUCUAAGAAAGGACCCAAAACCUUAUGAGUGUAAUAAACGAUCCAAAACGUUACACUCCUUUUUUUUUCUUUUUUUUUUUUGCAAAGAACCUUACACUUCUGUUAUGCAUCCUUUUUUCUUUUAGUAUUACAUUCCAUGUUAAUCAUAGUGAUACUUUGUUAGGUGCAUGAAAACACGUGACUGUAUGGCAUGGAGUGUCAUUUAAAAAAAAAAAAAAAGUGUAUCAAAACCAGAGCUCUGUGGUUUUCUCUCUCCAUUUUGCAGCCUUGAUAUGUAUAAGAAGCCGUUUUCAUCUUUGAAAUGAAAAUAGGUAAGCAAAGCUUUUCUAUCCCACUCGAGUGAGAAGAUUUCUAGCAUUAUGGGGAACCAUAAUUUUGCUAGAUGGUUUGUCCUUCUCCUCCACUUAGGAACUCUUCUAUCUUCUGUAGCAUGUCCUUAUUGCCCAUACCCAACCCCUCCACACAAACCACCACACAAGCCAAAGCCUCCGGCUGUAAAACCACCUUAUACACCAAAGCCUCCUGCUGUGAAACCACCACACAAGCCAAAGCCUCCGGCUGUAAAACCACCAUAUACACCAAAGCCUCCUGCUGUGAAACCACCACAUAAACCAAAACCUCCCAUUGUAAAACCUCCAAUAAUAGUGCAUCCUCCAUAUAUCCCAAAACCUCCCUUUGUGCACCCACCUUUCAGACCAAAGCCACCAAUUAUCAUACCACCACACCCUCCCAUUGUUAAACCACCACCCUUCAUUCCUAAGCCACCAGUUGUGCUGCCACCUUAUGUACCAAAGCCACCUAUUGUUAAACCACCGCCCUAUGUGCCAAAGCCACCUGUGGUGUUGCCACCUUAUAUACCAAAGCCACCUAUUGUUAAACCACCACCCUAUGUGCCCAAGCCGCCUAUUGUUAAACCACCACCUUACGUGCCAAAGCCACCUGUGGUGUUGCCACCCUAUGUGCCAAAGCCACCUAUUGUUGAACCACCACCCUAUGUGCCAAAGCCACCCGUCAUUUCCCCACCAUUUGUGCCAAAGCCACCUGUGGUGUCGCCACCUUAUGUACCAAAGCCGCCAGUUGUUGUAACUCCACCACCAUAUGUGCCAAAGCCACCUGUGGUUUCACCACCAUUUGUGCCAAAGCCACCUGUGGUGUCGCCACCAUAUGUACCAAAGCCACCUGUUGUUGUUACUCCACCACCAUAUGUGCCAAAGCCACCACCAACUCCCCAACCAACCCCUUGCCCACCACCCCCACCGACUCCCGUGCCAUGUCCACCGCCACCAAAGAAACCGGAGAUUUGCCCAAUUGAUACCCUCAAACUAGGUGCUUGUGUGGACUUGUU